This 47171-nucleotide long non-coding RNA is filed under the name Brachypodium distachyon (stiff brome). Its description in RNAcentral is "long non-coding RNA (BDIS_LNC003245)". The stretch from base 1413 to 1537 matches the Rfam family "MIR1120/MIR1122 microRNA precursor family". Lineage: Eukaryota; Viridiplantae; Streptophyta; Magnoliopsida; Poales; Poaceae. The record is from RNAcentral.
UAAUUUAGUCUUUGUUUUGCUUAUUUAGUGAAAAAUACACUAUAAUUAAAGGGAUCGAACCCAAUAGCCUAAUUCUCUAACUUCGCCACUGUGAGCUCCAGCUCCGCCGCACAUUCAUAAAUGGUUGGAAUUUAUACACAUUACUUACAAACAAAUUACUGUACAAUUAGUGUUUUUAAAGUCCACACAUUCAUAUGUUACAUGCGUGGUAAUGGUAUUACAUAUACCCGACCGUCUCUACCACUGGAGGCUGAUCUAGAAGGUGUCCACAAAUUGCAUAACACUAUUAUGCCUUUUGUGCUUGCAGAACUCUGCGAUAGUACUCUCCAAGAGCCCAGAUCGGAAAGAUGUUCCUGAACUGGGCGUAAGUGAGCAUGAGGUUGUGGUUGGUAGCUCCGAUUAUGUCCUGUCAUGUGAGGAAACGUACAAAUUGUAAGUUACUCGGCAGGUAUUGUUUACCCUCUUACAAGUAUCCCUUGCAUUGGGAAUGUAAUUUUGGGGAUAGACUAUGACUCACUUGCUGAGGGAACUCUCCAUCCUCCAUUUGGAAGUUGAUCAGAACCUUGGCUGCUCUAUGCAGACAUGCAGGAUCUCUUUUACCCUGUUCACUCGGAAGCAAAAAUAUUGUGAAUGGCGUUUUGUGCACCUAACUAGACUACUGUGCAAAAUAUAAAUAUUAUAUUUACUGCCAUACUACUACAAUUCACACAAGGUGAAAUAAUAUAUGAAAUGCACGAUAUAUAAUUAAAAUCGUGAAAGAAAUUGACCUGUCCAGCAUCAAUCAGGGCUAACAUGGCCCAACUGGUGUUAACUGCAUGAGCCUUGUUGCCUUCAAGAUUGGUGUAAACCUAUGUAUGUUGGAUGUCCAAUCCAAAUCAAUUAAGCACAAAUCCACAAUAGUAGUUAAUUACACCAAGUCAUGAGAAAAAAAGAGGAAAAAAAUCUACCUUAUCUUGGCUGGAGAGGUAGCUUUCCCCCCAUCCUCCUGAUGGGAGCUCCUUGGACAGCAAAAAUUCGCAUGCCUUUCUGAUUGAUUGGCUAUUCUCGUAAGUCCUACCAGCAGCAAUCAAUCCACUCACCCCAAACCAUGUACCAUAGGUGAAACAAAUAGCCCAACAGCCGUACCUGUAGUUGCAAAUUGAGAACAGAGAUUCAAAUGUGGAACAUAUUCUAAUUAAACAAGUCGAAUAGGAUUCAGUUCCAUUUUGGGCGCUAACCAUGAUCCAUCGGCCCGCUGGAUGCUCUCAGUGUAAUCUGCAGCCUUUCGGAUACAUUUGUCUAUCUCUUCCCUGCGAUAAUGUGUAGGGUAUGUUUCUUUGAAUAACACCAGCCCCUGAAUUACUGAUGAUGUACACUCAACAUACCUGUCAAUCAGGAUUCAGGAUACAUACGUAGUUGUCAGCACUUAAGAAAAUGUACUCCCUCUGACCCAUAUUACUUGUCUCAAAUUUGUCAAAAUAUGAAAGUAUCUAUGUUUAAAAAGCGUCUAGAUACAUGUAAUAUUUCGACAAGUAAUAUGGGUCGGAGGGAGUAGAUAACUUUUCAGAGAAAAUUUAGGAGCAUAGAUAAAAGAGGUAUCGAUAGAAGGUUCGUGUUUCUUACGGAUACUCGAUCAUUAUUCCCCCAAAGCUUUCAGAAGGAUUGAGCAACUGAAAUGUUUACAAAAAUAUUGUGCACAUCAGCACUUAUGAAACUUAUAAUCGGUUUGUUAGAUUCAAGAGUUGUUAUGCAUCAAAUUAACAUGACAGUUUCAGUGAAGUGUUUCCUCCCCAUAUACAAUUGAAACCAAGGAACCUAUCAAAACUCACCUCAAGCCACUCAUAAGAUCUUGUCAGCUCAUAUGCACCAAAACUACCAUCGUCAUUCUGCAAAGGAGUAAUGAGUAAUUCCUUAUGUGCCUAUGAUGUUCUUCAUCCUAGCAUGCGAACAAAACUACUACUCCCUCCGAUCCAUAAAAAGUGUUGCCCACUUUGUAUAAAAUUUGUUCUAACUUAGUACAAAAUGGGAGACACUUUUUAUGGAUCGGAGGGAGUAUUAUGUAAUGAGUAACAAUUAAGUUUGAAACUGACCAUCACACAAAAAAAAUCGACUACAAAAAUAAGUUAAACUGGAAGAUGGUUACCAUCAGUGAUAACAGAAGGUUGACAGUAUCAUCAAGCCUGCUGGAUUCCAUUGGCUCACCAAUCAAUUCAGGAGGAACCUUAGUUAACAGCAACAGAACCUGAAGAAAGUAGCGGAAGCAUUAUCUCAAAACCACUGGAUCAAGACCUAAGUUAUGCCGGAAUAGUUUUUCAUGGUGAUGACCAUUUGACCAUUACACACACAAUAUUCUGAAGUAAAAACCCUCAGAUAGUAUUAAUCAGUUUUUAAGGCAGAAAUGGUUCAUCCCUUCAGGGGCCAACUUCAGUGAUUACCUCGGUAGAAUCCAUUUUUUAAACAAUGAUCUACCUAUAUUGAUUGAUUAAAGAAAGUGUAACCGACCGGGAUAAAUGAAUGGACAAAAGAAACGAAGAUCAAUGUUAAACUUAAAGCUUCGUCAAAGCUCUUUGAAAUCACCAUAUCUAGGUUCUAAAAAGAUGUAUGACCUUCCAUUUAUUUGGUGACAAAGUGCAGAAUAAGAUCUCUACACAAAUUGAACUAACCUUGUAGGUUCUAAAACGAUGUAUGAACUACUAAUCUAAAUAAGCUGAGAUCCAAGAUUUCUAAAUGCACCAUGAUCGGGAAUACAUCCCUCACAGGUUGCAAAAUCAUUGCUCGAGUAGGCCAUGACACCCAAACCAAAAUGAGGAUGGAGUCAAGACACCUUUUUCAUAUGGCACACUGUCUCCAUCACCAAGAUGCUGCCACCAAAGAGAAACAACUAACAAAGAAUGUGUGGAAACUAAACCCAAUGUUGAUAUGUGGUUUUCUCUGGUUCUAGACGGCUAGACGCCAAAUCAUCCGUCAAAGCGCAGGGGCACCAGCGGAAGCUGAAAUUGUUGACGAUCACCAAAUGGCGAUAGCAAGUUUUUUUCUUGGAUUCCUACCAUAAAUACUGUUUUUAUAGGAAAACCUAAAAUUUUGGUAAAUUCCGUUACCAGGCACGCAUCUGAUGCAUACGGCCCAAGUGUGACUCUGGCGUGCAUAAGUCCAGAAAACCUAUAGAAUUUAGAUAGAAUCUGUCCUGUAUAUAGCAAGUAAUCCUUUUAAACGACGGGAUAGCGAAAGAGUAAUGUCACAUGCACAAAGCAAGAUAAUUUUAGAUGUUGACAUUUUACUAUUUUGCCAAAAUAAUUUUUUAGGACUCUACCUUCAAUGCUUCUGCAGUACAAUCUGAUACAGGCCACCUAUGGUCAGCAGUUGAGUGCGUCCAACCACCUUUGGAUAUAUGGCGAUGCCACUUGCUUUGGUCCCCAGGACAGUCAACACGAAUCUUUACAACAGUCAGAUAGAGAGUAUUACUACACUGUGCCUCAUUGAUCUGUGCUGCACGAGUAACUUAUCAUGUAGUGGUACCUGGGAACGUUUUAUGUAGUCAUGGGCGAGUUUAAUUGUGGGGCCAAACACUUUUGUGAGGCCGGUAGCAAAAAUAGCCUGGACCGUUAAAGCCGUAUCCCACAACUGGCUGCCAUUGUAUGACUACAAAAGGAUGGCAAUUAAUAAUGUCUAAACUUUGCCUAAACAUGUGACAGUUAAUUUGGAAUCGAAGGGAGUAGUAAACAAAGAUAUAUCUUAGAUAGAGACUUGUUCCAUUACUAUUGCAUAUAUCGACCCCAGUUAAAAGCUAACAAAAUGCAUAAGAACUAGUUGAAACCUUCAUCUUCAUGCCGUCUUCAGCAACCCAUAAGAAAUCGUAGACUCUUUGAAUAUGGAGCUUGAAUGCCUCUGAGUUAGGAUCUUCUACCCAGCGACAAAUCAUAUUCAACAUCUGCUUAUAUAUAAUAUUUGUAGUAAUCAGUUGUAGUUGGAAAAAAUAUACAAAAUGAACAAAUAAAUUAACUAAGCCCAUUACUUAGCUUGCAAGGAGCAAGUCUAAGGACGUAAGAAAACAAAAUAUUGAUAUUUACUACUCCCUCUGUUUCUUAAUGUACAUUUGGUAUUGUCCUAAAUCAAACUUUCUCAACUUGGACCGAGUUUGUAGAAAAAUAUAACAACAUAUGUAAUACCAAACAAAUACAAUACGGAAAUAUAUUUGAUAAUAGUCCUAACAAUACUAAUUUGGUGUUGCAUAUAUUUGUGGUUUUUCUACAAAUUUUAUCAGUAUUGACAAGCUUUGACUUAGGAUAAACCCAAAUGUAAGACAUUUAAAAGGGAGAGUACCUUGUUCAGAGCAGCAAUGCAGAUAUAUUGAGUUGUUUCAUCCUCGUAACGGAUAUGUUCCAUGACAACGUCGAGAGCUCUCUUCCGCAAUUUGUUGCCAGGCCAGUGCAUCAGGAGUGGUUCACCAACUUUCUUCAGAGUAGCCCAUACCACAUCCUGCAGCGGUGAACGAGGAUAAUAGAGAUCUUCCUACAAAACCAAUUAACAAGUGUUAGUAUCUUAUUAAUACUACUGCCUCCGAUCCAUAAGAAGUGUUGCAGAUUUAGUACAACUUUAUACUAAAUCAGCGACACUUAUUGUGGAUCAGAAGGAGUAGAUAUUAAAGGUCGAGGGAAAGCAAAUGAAACCUUUGCACAGCCAUUGCGAGCCUUGUCCCAAUCAAUCUCAUCGUAUGGGACGCUGUAAAGCUCUUUCCUCAAGUCUAGCACAACUGAUGAUGUAGUAGCUCCCACGAACCUCUUCCCAUAUAGGUACGACAUGGGCAAAUAUACCAGGCGGCAAUGACACCACAUGCGCCCUGUGUUAUGUGCAAUGGAAUAAUUGCUAAAUCGAUAAAAGUCAAGAAGUAUGUAUACUUUUUCUGGUACUCCAUGUAUUAUUUUGAAUAAAUUGCAUAGAAACCCAUCUAUAGCGGAUGCCCACGAGUCGAACACUAAUGAGUAACAAAUGACCUCUAAAUGGCUGAUUUGUCGAUGCUAAUGACUCGGGUCAAUGCGUCAUACACAGUAGCCGUUUUUGUUGAGCUUUUCUCCGGUACCCUAGAAUAUUUGAACCGUCCGUUUACUUUGAUCUAAAGGUGCAGAUUACUUGAUACUCCCAACUACUCCGGCUUAGAGGAAUGGAGUAUUAUCUCAGAAAAAAGGGAGUAGCCAACCGGCAAGGGUAUAAACAUAAGAAAAACCGUCAGUUUCAUCCUGUCUCCUUUGGCCGGAGUACUCAGAGAAAGGUUCCGACGGCGGCGGUGGCGCGCGCUGGGUGGCCGACGGCGGCGGCGGCGGGUCCGUCUGGAAGGGCUAGGAGGCCACUGGCGGCGGCGCGGCAGGAAGGCUGGCGGAGGCACGCUGGGAGGCGGGCGGCGGCGGCGCGGGCUGGAAGGCCGGCGGGUGCGCGCAGGAAGUCGGGCGGCGGAUUCGUGCGGGGACGACGGCGGCGGCGGCCCGGGCUGGAAGGCCGGCGGAGGCGUGCUUGGAGACUGGUGGCGGCUUGGCUUGGGAGGCCGCCGGCGGCAGCGCGGGAUGGGAGGCAAGCGGCGGCUUGGCGCUGGGAUGGGGAGAGAGAGAGAGAAAAACAGAAUUCUGAUUUUUUUUAAUUUUGUUACUAAUGUGAAAAGUCAAAAAUGCCCUUCUAUCAUACUCCGUUUGGCCUCAGUGGAGGAUUGGGUAUUGUAGAACCUGCCGUUUUUGUUGACUCAUAUCUCUGUACCAUCAGCUUGAGCCGCGUCUCCAUGUGAGCCUACCCGGUUUUUUUGGGGAAGCAAAACGAGAUCGUCUCUGCCCAUGCCGGCGCCGCCCCAGCCACCGCCGCCUCCGCGGGUUGCCCCGGCCGCCGCCACUGCGGGCUGCCCCCGCCGCCUCCGUGGGCGCACACCGCCCCCUGCCUCGGGUUGCAGCAGCCGCGCGCCGCCGCUGGUGCCGUAGCCCCCGCCGCCGCCUGGCCUGGCCACCUCCGCGAGCGCGCGCCGCCCUAACCGCCGCUCCGGCCGCGGGCUGCCCCUGUCGCCUCCGCGGGUUCAUCCCCCGCCGCCGCCUGGCCCAGACACCUCCGAGAGCGCGCGCCGCCCUAGCCGCCUUCACGGCUGCGCAGUAUGCAGGGCAGGGGAGCUAGUCUAUCUACGCCGCCGCCGGUGACGAGGACGAGAUGCCCGUUGCGUCACUCCUGAUCGGAUUUCGGAACCCCAACGACCUCCUGCUCACGGCCACCGCGUCGGACCAUCCCUCUGGGUUGUGCGGAUUGGUUGGCUAGGAAGGGAAUAAAAUUGAUCGGCUCAGCUCCCAGCUCGGCUAAAGCCGAUGGGUUAGAAGAAUAGAUCCGAAAAGUAGAUCCCUGAGUAUGACAUGUGGGACCGAAUCAUUAACCCCAUGGGCCUUUUGUUUGGCUCACGACAAAGAGCCCACUUCGUAGCUUCUGACGGCAAUGGCAAAUAGGCUCUUUGCAGUGGGUUUUUUUGGAUUUUUUUCAGCUGUCGUCAAAGGAAAGGAGAAGACGGCUGGCCACGUGGCAGGCGGCUUUGACAAAACAUCUAUGCAUACAUACAAUAUGAAAAAUUGCAGUUGAUGGUGAUGGUACGGUCGCUGCCGUACGUCCCUGCCCUUGCCCAACUCCUGCACAAUUUUUUUUCUUCGCACGGGUUAUUGUUUGGAUUCCGAACCGUUUUUUCCUUCUCGCUCCGCCGCCAGCCUCGCGUCUCCUCUCCACGCCACCACUGCCGCUGUCACCCAUCGUAGCCUUCCCUGCCGCACACCGCGCUCUCCCUCCCUAGCCGUGGAUGCCGCCCUCUCCUUCCCCUGCGCGCGCUGCCACAGCCCUCCUCCCCUCCGCUCGCCGACCCCGAGGCCCAGCCCAUCAAUCUUUCUCUAUCUUGCUACCUCUCCUCCGAUUUCUUCUGCCCCCGAACCCCGACCUCGCUGCGAGAGCCAUGGCCCGACCGACCAUUUGUCCUAGGGGACCGGCUCCAAGGUCGUGCCGUCGUGGGCCGUCCCAGAUGACCCCACCGCCUCCCUCCCUGCGAACAACGCCAGCCACCGUGGACCACCCCGCAUAGGACGCCGCCGCCGCUGCCUUGUCGUCGUGCGCCGCCGUCCGUCGCAGCUGCUUCGUGCUCGUGCACCGUCACGGUCACCCCCGCCGCCAUCCGUCGUUCCAAAGAAAAGCGAGAGACUAAAACUGUCUGUCUUACAAAUCGGAACCAAAAAGAACACAUCCUGCCGCGGAUGCGUGUGGCGGCGAGGUGCAGGGAGCCAGCGGCGGUCGGUCAACCACAGUGGGACGCGAGCGUGGUUCGCGUUGGGGCGGCACGCGGGCGAUAGCGGCACCGUUGGUGCAACCGGUAGUGCAGGCGGGAGGGUGAGCGUGGUUCCCGGUGGCGCAAAGGCGAUUUGGGGCUUUCCAGGGCGGCCGACAGUGGCUGUGUCGGGGCAAUUGGAGGCUGCAUCGCUGGUCAGCUGCGAGGGGCGACUUUUCUCUCAAACGAGGAGACAAGGAGUGCCGUUCUAAUGAGAAAGGAUAGGCAUCAAAUAACGCUAGGGAUAAACACGCAAGUCCUACUGAAUUACCAUAUCUAAUUAUUUUGUAUUGCAUUACCCAAUGCUCCAGUUGUGGGAAGAAACAUAAUGCAUUUACAGGUUUUUUAACUUUAACAACAAGGUAGUUAGUUUUCAUGAACAUUGUUGAAACAAACUUUUUGCAAUUAUGAUAUGGACAUACUAACCAUGGAUACGACCAUUAGAUACACUCUUGGGCCGAAGCCUACCUCUGGCCCAUCUCUUGGCUGAUCAGCCCAGUCGGCUGCCCCAGCCCAGCAAGCGACCCAGUCAGACUCGGUCGUCUUCCACCUCGCGCACGACCCCUACCAAGAACGCACGCACGUACGUCGGCCGCCGGUUGAUCCCCUCGACCCAACCGUUUAUCUUCGAUCCGAGACCAAAUAUUUGAUCCCAUCUCCCCGAGAACCGAUUCAGUCAAAAGUUGAACCUUUUCCCUCCAUCGCGUCACAAAACUCACGCGCCCCGAAUGCCAACUGACAACAUCCACGUCCCAGUCUCCCUCCUCGGAUUAUAUAAGACAAUCCCUAGCGCGUCAUCUUGUGUCCAGACCAAUCCUCCCUCGUUGUCGUAUUGAAAGUUUCCCUUAUGAACCCCUGUAGAGCCCGUAUCCUCGAUGUCUCUGUCCGCCAUCCACCACCGCCAUUGUUGACGAUCUUGCGAUCAAUGGAAGCCAUUGGCCGCGUCGUCCUCGGAGCAGUGCCGCCGCCCAACUCCAACCAUCGGAUAUAACAGUUAAUAUAUGUGUGGUCCAAUUGAAACAGUCGGCCAUGUAAACAACUGUCGGCUAUUAUUAAAAUUACCGACGGGCUGUCGGCCAUCUGAAACUACUGUCGGCUUAUCUUAGAUUUCUAGUAGUGGCUGCAGCACGCCCAGAAGACCAACGUCGACUCCUUUGAGUUCGCAGUGACGUCCUCGAUCACGUACACGACGGCAUCGGCGUUGGAGCACGCCGGAGGACCCCGACGACGACGACCGAGGUUGCCAUCGCCGUAGCCACGACGCGCCGCCGCUUGGAGCCACCCCGGAGCAAGACGCCGCCGCCAUUCUUCUUCCCGCGAAGCCGUGAACCUCGUCCACCCCCCAGAGCCUCUCUUCUUCGAUUCCGUUCAUCUCCAGUGAGAUACGAGGUAUGAACUUGUUCAUCUUCCCUCUGCACCGUAAGUUGUUCGAUUAGCCCUCUUUAGGCAUCGACUGUUAGCAAACCGCUGAUCAUGUUGUGCUCUAGGUUUCACCAUUGUGUAUAGUGUAUGUUGCUCUGUGAUUGUUCUUUAGUGCGUAGCCAUAGAUGGUUCAUCUUCAGCACUGCAUCGUCGUUGCAAAACUGUAUUCUUAGCAGCCUCUCUGCCGCGGCAGGAAGUUGCCACAUCUUUUCUUACCGAGUAGCCUAGUUCACAGUAGUUCUUCCUGUUGUCUGCAGCAUUAUUUUGGUUUAUUCUUGCUGUAGUUGGAACCUUAGGUACUCGCCUACACAGUAGUUCCCUAAUUGGGUCGUUUCAAAUUCAUCUUCACUAGUAGCAUGACAGUAGAAGUUUGUAUCCUGUACUGUUCUGUUUUAGAGCAGCCACAUACAUCUGUUCAUAGCUAUUGGCUCAUAUCUCCAAUGUUUGUGUAACUAGCGUCAUUUUGAAGAAUAGAUUAUAUUCUUGGAUUCAUAGUUGUAGUUCUCUGUCUUUCGAAUAGUUUAGCACCAGUAGCUUUUCAGUAGAAGCUAGUAUCUAUUAUCUGUCAGAAUCGGACUAGUCACCUUUGCAAGCCAGUAACUUUCGAUCUGUAGAUCCAAUUGGGCACAAAACCAGUUGCGUUAGUACAAUCUUAGUACUGUCCAGUAGCAUACUUUUCAUUCCAUGUUCUGUACUUUAGCACCUAUUACCUGUCAACCUUAGUUGCAACCUGUUAACUGUAGCAGAUUACUGAAUUUCAGACUUAGCCACUCUAGGCUUGGCUAUAGGUUUUAGAACCAUGUUUGUUGGUACUCUAGUAUUAUUUGUAUGAAGUUUGGGUUCUGUUCUUGAAUGUUUGGGAAUACAUUUUGUUAUUCGAAGUUCAUUUGGAGUUAUAGUUGGAUUUUGAUUUAUGCUUGGAGCUAUACAUUUAUUUUGUUUCAUUCUUCGUGUUAGAUUAUUCGGAUUGUGAGUGCGACGAGUGCCAGCGAGUUGACGACCACAGCCACUUUUCUGAUCCAGGCAAGUUACACUUAUUGAUCAUGUAGUACCUAUAUUUUUGCUUAUGCUAUUUUGUUUACAAUGUCAUAGGGAUGCAUGUUAGAGUUAUUUCUUUAUGAAGUAUUUAUCACAUGCGUUUUCAACAUGUUUUAGUUAUUCCUAGUAGAUUGCUUAUAGGACUUUAUUACCAUGCCACCAAAUACCAUAGGUGAUGUAUUUACAUUUUCCAAAACAUGCUAUACUAUUAUAACGGGACGGGACGCAAACUAUAUUGAAAAGUAUUAAGUGCUCUUUAUGAGCGAGUAUGUUUUUGGAAAAAUGUUUUUGAAAUAAAACCAAAAUGUUUUAUCUGGACAGAGUGGUAUGAUGGAGGCCAGUUGGCUGUCGGCAAGUGUUGUAACCCCGUAACGGGUACACACUCAGGAGAAGGUGGGGAUCGCCAUCGAGAAAUCCAAGAGUUCAAAUCUUCUCAUGUACCCAAAGGCUUCUUGUGCAACCACUUGCUAUUAUGGGCUCUGACUUGGUUUACUAACUAGCGGGAAACCCUGAUAUGGACAUGAUCACCAUGGAUACGACCAUUAGAACCCUAAUUGUUGGUGUAUCUAAUAACGAUUAUAAUCAGGUGAAUUCAAUUACUAAAUGUUUUCUAUAUGUUACUUGCAAAGAGGCGGAGCUUCUAUCUUAUGCAAUCUUAUUAUGUAGGCAUCUUAUUAAACUUUACAAGUCCAAAGUGAAUAUGAAGUGUGAUAGCCUGCAAAGAGAGAUUCAAAAUGAAGCCUAUCAAGUCUACUUUCUAACAAAUCAAACGGCACAUGAAACUUGCUAGAGAAAGAUAUCACGAAGUAAAGUUGAAUCCGAUUCGGGUCCGACCUGUCAGGAGACUCGAAUUUGUUUUAAUCACCCAGGCCGCAUCCGGAGUCCAAAUCAAGCAAACAAUUACUUGUUGGAAAUACAAUUACAAUACCUUUCCAACGGAUCCGGCCCAACAAGUAGAUUCGACGCGUGCUGACCGUGGCGGAGAAAACAAGCUGACGGAUCUGUUUUUCUGUUUCCUAAAGAGUUGUAGUUUGUUAGGAAAGUUAGAGAUAGAGUUGGAUUUCGGCCUCCUUACUCAAGGUGGACGAAAAUAUCUCUUCCUCCUCCUUUAUAUACCCCAUGAGCCCCCCUAAGGUGCCUUGGGUUUUGUUUAGUUAAAAGUUAGCCAUCGCUACUACUUCGUGUAAUCGCGUGUGUCGGUUAGACCACUUGUUUUACCGUUUUCGGAACCCCAACUUAUCAUCUCGUUGAGACAUAGGUUUGAUAUAGUAUAUUCGCAAUUUCAGAUUGCAUCCGCUAUUUAUCUCGUUCUUGCUUGUUCUUCGAUUGCUUGCAGGAACAAAGACCUUCGUGGUCAGGUUGAUCGUGCCCCCGCGUGAUCAAUAACCCUCUGGAGUUGGUGUAUCGAUUGCUAAGGCGCUGCCUCCUAGGCCGUAGUUGGAUCGUCAGCGUCACCUCCUACCCAAAUCGAGAGUUAUCAAUCUCAUCGAAAGAUCGGCCUACCCACACCCAUAUCAAAUUAGGUCUUUCAAAUAUGAGAGAUUAAAAAAGAAGUUGGUGUUUCUUGCACCAGAUUCAGUUCUAAAAUUUGCUUAACAUACCAUCCACCCUCAUACAUCGUAAACCUGUUUUCAUGGCGUUGUAAUAAUUUAUUUAUUUUUUGUAUUCACAUUUUAUUUUCCGUAGCAACGCACGGGGAUCUCGACUAGUUUAAGUAACAGAGAGGUAACGGUGAGACACGUGACCAUGGCUUUACCGUGGGCUAGCGGAGAGUUGCGGAGAGCAAAACAACGGCGUCAAGUCCCUCCCCUGUUGCCGCCACCAACGCGCCUUAAACCCGUUCCAAUCGCUGCCGCCGCUGAACAUGAACCAGCAGUAGCUUCGCAACGACCCGCCGUACUCAAUCCCGGUGCCUCAUUGUCGGCCUCGGCGAGGAGGCCAUCGAGCACGACGUGUCAGACGCCCUCGUGGAAGUCCACCCUGUGUGCGACGCUGGCCUUAUCAACCACUGGUCGUCCCAGCUCGCAGUACUCACGGUUCACCUCGAUGGCCACCACCUCUUGCCGUGGGCCAGGAGGGCAAGCGCGGUGCAAAGCUGUGAGUAGCCGGUGAAGAUGCCGACCUCGACGGCCUUCUCCACGUUCAUCAUCUUGAGCAGCAUAGAGAAGAACCGCAUCUGGUCCACGCGCUCGUGCUCCCGUGGGUACACAGUCGUCUCCACGAUUUAAGUCUAUAGACGUCGCGUGACCGCCAGCUGUCUCCUCCUGCGCCCUCGUCCGAGCGUGCGGCCUCCGCAUCCGGAACCAUGAGGUGCAGAGACAACAGCCGCCACGGAGGAGGGGAUCGUGAAGCGCCAUAGCAGAGACGCGGGGAGGCGGCGAGAUCGAGGGAGAGUUGGAGAGGGAAGAGACAGAGAGCUACGUGACAAAGACACACAGAGGAGAGAGAGAUAGGGGAGAAGACGACAACAUCUUUGCGGCAGACGAUGACAGAGGUGAAACCCAAGUAAAACAAUUCCUCUAAACAAUUGUGUGGUUUACAUGAUAAUUUUAACCAAGAGAGAAACGGAGAAAAGGACAAAACAUCAAAACUGAAACUUUGCCGCAGUCUUGGCUUCUGGCAUAGAAUUUACCAUAGGUCUGGCCUCCGGCAAAGAGGGGGCACCGUCAACCUGCCGUCUCGUGCCGCGGUCGAGGCCACGUGGCCACGCUUUCUGAAGUGAGCUUUUCUUUGUUGUGGGCCUUCCUAUAAUUUUGCCGGGAGCUUUUCUAUGCCGCGGGCAUUUUUGUGAAUUAUUGUGUGUCAUGGCUUUGCCAUUGUCGGGGAUGACUCCGGGUAGAGUCAUGACGACACAUAUUAGCCGAGAUAACGAGAGCAAAGCCGGCAUUCUUAAGCCGAAUUAAUAACAGGCCGGCAUACCAAGGGUAUGCCGGCAUAUCUAUCUUGUCUUAUGUGAUUGCAGGAUAAGCAUAAGUAAUCUGAUCUCGGUCAAUGCCGAGAUGCGUCAACGGUCUUAUCCUGAGCACAUGGCGUAAAGUAAAGCAGCGCCCCCUUUAUGACGGAAAAGCAGUCGCCGCUCACGUCGCGGUGCCAGGCGACUGCACAAUGACGCGCCGAAGAAGGACCGAUGACGAAGGCCGGGGCGUGGCUACAGUGCGCACCGCCUGGCGCUACGAAAAGUAAAGCUGCUUUGUCCCCCGCCGUGCAACCCGGAGGGAACCGUGGGGCGUACCCGGCAGGCCCCGUAGAAGAUAGGGUUUGCUUUUGGUCCACGUGUCAGUGUGACAUCGGCGGCCUAUAAAUAGAAGCACCACCCCUCCUAGGAGAGGGGCUCCUCACUUAGUCAUCUAGGGUUUUCCCCUUCUUCUUCUUCCUCCUCAAGAAACAGCUCAAGGAGCACCAUUGUAGCCCUCGGUAUCUCGGGUAAUACAACAAAGCAGGAGUAAGAGUUUUACCUCAUCUAGAGGGCUCCGAACCUGGGUAAAAUAGUGUGUGUUCUUGUGUUGUGCGUUGUUCUAAUCACUUCCUCCCUCUUCCGGUUUCUCCUUCAUCCAUCGGUUUCAUCGUAAGCCAUCAUAUGGCAUCUGCCGUGAUACCAGCACGAUAGCCAUCUAUUUUUUGGCUCUAGGGUAAACCAGCUUUGCCAUGGCCCCGAAAGAAAGUCUCCGGCAAAGCCCUCGGGGAGACGGCAAAUUCUGUUUUUCCGGUAGCGACUACUUUUCAUAUUUAUAAACUGUGAAAGCAUGAAGUAAGUCUAAAGAUAUUUUUUUUUUGGCUAACUUAGUUCUGCUAGAGCCAAUCUAGCUAAACAGCUUAGCUCAUUUAAGAGUUUUUUUAUGUUAAAACAUCAUAACUACUGGAUCUGUACUAAUAGAAAAUGUUGUAAUGCCAUCUUAGUAUUUGAAUAAUGAAUAAUUAAGCUACGAACAUGAAGAGAACUUUAAAAUAGGAACCCAAACCUGGAUGAAUAGGCAAGAAAUAAGGCAUCAUCCAUAUUUCUGGUGGCAAUGGGUUGUUACCAGACCAUUCAUAUACCCCAAGUACCUAGAGCAAGAAAUUAGAGACACUGUCACUAUGAGUCUAGGCUGGAAAUGAAUGCAUAUGCACAAGCAAAUAUAAAAGGAUGUACGUGAUCAUUCCGAUUGUGCUCCCUACCGAAAGGAAGAAUUUCCCCCAAGAUGGUGUUAAAGUUGCCCCCCCAUGGUCCAAGAUCCAACUCCGAGCUUGCAGCAUCGGUCCACAUGAGUCGAGCCCUUCCCCAAGUAAUCUCAAAGCGACGUAGUUCAUGACAGAACAGAACAUUGUACUUCUUCCCUCAAUGUGCAGUCCCCAGCCCCCAUCUUCAUUCUACAGUCAGUUAGUGAUCAUAUUCAUAUCAGCGAACACAUGCCAUCAAUUGUAAUUUGGCGCACAUUCAUCUGCUUGCCUGAUGAUUGUAGAGAUAUCUCCGAAUCUCCUUCUGAUGUUCAGACGACAAUACAGUAUUGAGUGAUUCAGUCACAUGCAAUGCUACGAUCUGAGAAAACAGUAGGUAAGAAUCAGAAUAGAAAAAUAAAAUAUUUAAAGUAAGGUUUAGUCAAAUCUGGAUUGCAUGCAUGCGUGACGAAAUGGUCAAACACGUUUAGGCUUGGAUAUAUAAAGCAAGUUGUAAUCCCUUUGUUUUCCUUCGUACAGUUUUAAAACUCUCUCCGAUCCAUAAUAAGUUGUACUAAAUCUGAGACAUUUGUUAUGGAUGGAAGGGUGUACUUUCUUGUAAUAUAUAAGUAGAAUUCACCUCCUUAAAGAAAGUUUAAAAAAGAAUAUGUUUUGUUCAACACGCAAGAGGAAGUACCAAGCUAGGUAAGAGAAACAGAGUUCCGGCGUAAUCUCCCGGCCAGUGCCCAUCAUGUGCCUGGAGAGUGGAAUAGCGGCCGAUUGCCCUCUUCAAAGAUAUCAAGACAUCCUCUUCCGUGGCGAAUGCAUGCUCAUCCAGCUUGAUGGCAGGAAGGUUCAUCUUGAGACGGUUUGACUUGGAGAACUGCAGGACACAAAAUGUCAGAAAUGGCUUGCAGGGUGGUGUAGUCACUGAGAACAUACGAAAUGAAAUGCAACCAAUUUUUGCUCAUCUUUCAGAACAAAUUUUGUUGACAAACACUCAAUAAUAAGAUAUACCGAGCCUUUUCUUGACGGGACCAAUGUGACGGCCAUCUGAAGUUACUUUCCAUGGCCGUGUGACCAUGCUAUCUCCACCAGCAGCGCAUAGGCGCUCGAGGAAGCACGGAGGGAAACUGACCAGGAGGGGAGGAAGAUGUUUUUUUUCUCAUAGAAUACACCGGGCAUGUGUAUCAUUGAUUAAAGAGUAAAUUUCAUAGAACCAUAAUUUUUAGAGCAGUCGUAUUGCUGAACCACACUUAUCGCAAAACCGUUCACAGAACCACACAUUUUGAGCCAGUUUGUCUCAAGUAGCCCGAAACCAGAUGGUUUGGCGGUUUCACGUGAUUCCUUACAGCUGGGGCCCACUUAUCGGAUGCCACGUAAUUGCUUACAAGUGGUGAAAAUUGUGACUGUAGGAAGGAGAAGGGGCCUGAGGGGUUUAAUUGCAGGUUAACGGGUCCGGUCGGGUCGAGUCGAUGUCGACAUGGCAUCUGACAUGUGGGACCCACCUGUAAGUAAACAUGUGAAGCCGCCAAACCACCCGGUUUCGAGCUACCUGAGACAAACAACCUUACAAUGUGUGGUUCUGCGAACGGUUUUGCAAUAAGUAUGGUUCAGCGAUACAAUUGCCCAAAAAACUGUGGUUCUCUGAAAUUUACUCUUGAUUAAAAGAAGGAGUUGCCGCGAUGCGGCUACAAGCCCCUAGAGCGAGUACAAAACAACUACCCGUUAUCUCUCCACUUGCUAGGCAUAGCGGCAGAGCCCUGUCCUCUAAAGAGCCCGGCCCUAGCCCAAGCUCUAGCCUCGGCACCCAUGGAGCCCAACAGUUGUUGUAAAUUCACCACGGCAUGAUCAAAGACUACUUUGUUCAUAAGCUUCCAGGUGGACCAGAAGACAAGCGUCAAAGCCGUCACGAGGUCCCCCUGUGAAGCUUCAUGCGCUAGCCAACGUAACCAAAAGACCGAUCUGAUGGAAAGGGCUAGGCAAUCCACUUAAACACCCCCCCUCACGUCUGAUGGUGAAGUGAAGUCAACACGUGUAAACUUAGAGGUAUAGUGGCUCAAGAGGCCAAUAUAUGGACGGAGGGGAUCUGAUGGAAAGGGCUAGGCAAUCCACUUAAACACCCCCCCUCACGUGUGAUGGUGAAGUGAAGUCAACACGUGUAAACUUAGAGGUAUAGUGGCUCAAGAGGCCAAUAUAUGGACGGAGGGGGUAACAGCAAUUUUUAAUAUAAAUUGUGAAAGCCAGAACUUGAACUUGAGACCUUUGGCUCUGAUACCAUGUGAAGCUUCAUGCGCUAGCCAACGUAACCAAAAGACCGAUCUGAUGGAAAGGGCCAGGCAAUCCACUUAUACACUUCAACACCCCCCGAUCCGUACCGAACAACGGAAUUGAAGAUCGACCACCAUUCCAGGAGGUUAGCAUCACUCUCGAGCAUCCACUCCGUCUUGCUCCAAAAGGAGAGGACCUGCCACCAAACUUGCCGCACCACAGAACAACCCAGGAGCAACUGCGAAAUGUUCUCUUCCUCUUGAUCACAUAGGGGGAACCGCGCAGGAUGGUCACGGUCUCAACGCGCCAAUUGACCCGCCGUCCAGCAUCGGCCUGGACAAGCAAGCCAGACAAAGAAUUGACAUUUGCUAGGCGCUCUAGAGCCCCAAAUAAGAUGGAAGCCAUGUCGUUCUAUGCGCCCCUCGAAAAGAGCCAGAUAGGCCGAUCGCUCCGAAAACUGACCUGAGGUCGUCCACUUCCAACGGAAGACAUCAUCACCCUCACCAAGUUCCACGUCGGCAAGUCUGUCCCAAAGAGAAAGGAAUUGAUGAAGGCCCUCGCUGAGGUUAGGAUUCACCUCCCGGGUCCAAGACUUAUACAGACAACCCAUCGCCACAAAGAGGCCACUAUCCACGGCUGGCAUAAUAUCAGGUGCAAGAUCCUUGAUCCGCAGCCCAUCAAGCCAUGGAUCGGUCCAGAACCUCGCACCAGUACCAUCACCCAGAGUAACCCUAGAAGCGGCUUCAAAAAGCGCAACGGACUCGGCCGGAAGAGAAAUUCCCAAGGUGUGCCAGGAAUGCCAUGGUUCCGUCCUUUCAAGCCAACACUAUCUGGUGCGAAGGGCCACAUUAAGCAAGUGGAGAUUGGGAAUGCCCAGACCGCCGACUCGCUUCGGCGCCCAGAUCGCCUCCCAAGCCACUAAGCAGUGACCACCACGGGCAUCUUGGCGACCCUUCGAGAGAAAACCACGAAAAAUCUUCUCGAUGGCAUCAAUGGAGCUCAUGGGGAGAUCAAGAGCUAGCAUGGAGUAGACUGGCAUGGCGUAGAGGGUGGACUUCACUGCAUCAAUCGACCUCCACUGGAUAAAAGAGGGGCGGCCCAAGAUUGAAGCUUGCCAGCCACCUUAUCCACUAACGGUCUGAGCUGGGCCGCCGAAAUCUUCCAGGCAGGCCCAAAAAAUAAGUGCACGGAAAAUUAGCCAUCGGACAUUGGAGCUCACGGGCCACAAUCAACUGUUGGGCUGCAGAGCACCGGAUAAGGUGGGCCGCAUUUGUCGCCAUGUUAGCCUAGAGAUCGGAAGUCAAUCUGAAGUCCAAGAGCAACGCGGAGCAAGCCCGCAGCUCCAGCUCCUCCGGGCAGAAGAAAGCCUCCACGUCAUCGGCAAAAAUAGAAGUACGUCGCCGAAGUCCACAAUCAGCAAGAUUCCUUCUUUCCGAAGCCCGGGAGAACAAAGAGUUGAGCACGUCCAUCGCCAAAAUGAAGAGCAUGGGAGAUAGAGCGUUGCCUUGCCUCAAUCCACGUCGAUGAAGAAUCUCCUGGCCAGGGAUCCCGUUCAAGAGAACCCUAGUAGAGGAUGUCCCAAGCAACCCACCAAUCCAGGAAAUCCAACGCCGUCCGAAGCCCAACCUCGCUUCAGACGUCGAAAAGAAACGACUAGUGGAUGGAGUCAAUGGCCUUCGUGAUAUCAAGUUUGAGAAGCACCGAAGACUCCGGAGCCACGUGAAGAUGCCUCGCUGACAUCUGAACCGGAGAAAAAUUGUCGUGACGACAACACCCUUUGAUGAAAGCACUUUGGUGAGGGCCAAUCAACCCCGAUAACCACGGUGCCAAUCGGCAAGCAAGGACUUUAGCCACUAGCUUCGCAAAGCUAUGAAUGAGACUAAUCGGGCGGAAGUCUCGCAGCUCCUUAGCGUCAGGCCUCUUGGGAGCAGCGAGAUGAAGGCUUGAUUCACAUCCGCCAGGCUGCGAGUGUUGAGCCGAGAAAGAGAAUGGAAGCAAUCCAAGAUAUCGCCCUUAAUCACUUGCCAACAGGAGGUAUAGAAACGUCUGGUGAAGCCAUCACGCCCCAGGCUUUUGUCCCGAGGCAAUUGUCGAAUAACGCUCCACACCUCCUCUUCUGAGAAGUCAACCUCCAACUCACCAAGAUCAUUGUUCGGCACAUCAAGGAACGCAAGAUCUAGGGCAAAUGGCCGAUCCACCGACAGAACCCAGCAAUUGCGUAUAAAACUCAUCCGCUGUGGCUACUUUAAGGUCAUGGUCCGACACCACCAAGCCAUCCACAGUCAAGUGAGAGAUGAAAUUCUUUCGCCGUCUAUGGCUCGCAUUAAGGUGGAAGAAGCGAGUGUUGGCAUACCCCUCCUUACGCCACAAAAGCCGCGAACGGUGACGAGUGAUAAGUUGAUUGGGGAUAUCAAGAUCUAGAUUUUGAUCGCUUAGAGACGAGGUGGCAGCAAGGUUUUGGUUAUGGUCGGUAUUUCUUCUUUUUUUCCGAAAUACCGGACGAUAUUAAUUUUUGGUUACCAUAUUUCUCAGUUCCUCCAGGAAAUGGGGUUUACUUUAAAAAAAUGAGUUUAAGCCACAAAUUAACCAAUGGCUUUCGAAUUAGGGGGUUUACCGACCAAAACCGUUUUCUAAUCCGACAGUAUAGGAUAGAGGAGGAGAAAUAAUUGCUCGAUUUAUAUUUGGAAAAUCGUAUAAAUUUUAUGAAACCAUGUUUUCCGAAUUACAAUCGGAUAAUCCGCACUAAUAAGUCAGAUAUGCUUUUACUUGUGUAGCUGUGUUUGAACUUCCGAUGUGUAUACCAAUAUACUAAUACAAGUUUCAGUGUGUGUAUAUAAGUAUGAGUGUGUCUAUGUGUUUGUGAUUUUAUCCAUGGUUUGGUAUCUGGGUCCAACAUAAAGGACUUGAACUUAUUUUCUGCCCAUCAUUAUUGGUUUCCGGUCCGACAUCUAUCCGCUACCGUAUCCAUGGACAGACCCAAAAAUACAUUUUAGAGGAGGCAAAAAUGAAUAAAUGGGCUGAGUGCGGGGGCAUAUACAUGGGCUGAGUGGGGACAUUUACUUGUAACAUUGGCCAUAUGCUACUGGACCAAAAAAAAUUAAGUGGGGCAAAUGCCCCCAUGGGCCUUAACGUAGGUCCGGCCAUUACCGUAUCAUUUCCGUUUCCGCGUCUGAAUCCGCAUCCAUAUAGUUUCCGUAUUCCAUAAAAAAAAGGAAAUAGGAUAGAGUAGGGGUAUGAUCCGACCGGAUCCAAUCUGGUCUCACCAUUAGGGAGAAUAAUGUUCAAAGCAAGAUUGAGGACGCGUAACGAAGGGCAUUUGAUUAAGGGUUCGAUUGGAGCAUCUGCAUCCCAAGUCCAGAUCGCUUCAGUGUUUAGGCGGACAUAUCGACUUCCUCUCUCUAUUCACCUCUCUAAACCGGCUUCUUUUAUUUUUAUUAUAUGCUCCCUCCAUUGCAAGUUACAGGACAUAUAAUUCGUUUAGAUAACACUUUGCCAACAAUUACAACACUAGUACAUAAUUGAUGUGACGUGAAAUUAAUUGGGCCCUUAGACUCGUAUUUAGAAACUAGUACAACACUAGUACUUAUGAUUAUUAUGAUUUUGCAUCACAGGAACUACAUGUUAGUUGAGUAAUUAUUGGUGAAAACCUUGUCUAAACGAACCAAAAUAUGGAGUAUGAUUUGGAACUGACAUAGGGUGAAAUUUUUACCUAGAUUAUAUUAGUGUUGGGGAGCUGAAUAUUUGUAAAUCUUACUUACCGCCGACCCUAAAAUACGUGUGCUACUCUCAUAGGGUGUUAAUUAUAUCUGUUACUAUUUUUGUAUUCCCUCCGUCCCAAAAUAAAUGAUGUGAAUUUAUAUGAAUUUUUAUACAAAACGACGUCACUUAUUUUGGGACGGAGUGAGUUGAUUUUUCCUUCAAAAAUAUGAUGUCCAGACUGGAAGAUGCAGCUGGAUCAGAAAAAUCUAGCUACGAGCACAAGAUGACAAGAUUAGAAGAACAGUUGUGGAGUUAAUUUCAACUACAUUAAUUGUGCAGGAAAACACACACACCACGGACGAUAUCGAUAUCUUCAACAAGCUUGUCAAAGACAUGGCUGUUGUGUUGAAUAUUUUACUUCGAUAGUGUGAUUGAUAAAAUCGUGGAAAGUGACUUGUGUUAAAUGUUAGUAUCACUUUACUUGAUUUAUCUGUACCGGCCAACGGGCCAAGGCAAUUUGUGUUGAAUAUUCUACUGGGGAAAACGACUCUACCCUUCAAUGAAGAGAGUUGGAGAUGCGUGUUCGAAAAAAUCACUGAAAUCUUCGUGCUGUCAUAAGAGUAUAGAUAGGUCUUGUCAUAGGUCUUGGUGGCAAAGCAAGAGUCACCAGAAGGACAAGUAAGACUAUUACACGGAUGUGCGUCUACGAGACCAUUUCACUCCACUUUGAAACAACGAAACAAAAUGAUAACGUUUCAUAAGGUUUGGCAUGGAUUUAAACUAGAACUAGUUUAAACCCGCGCCAAUCUUUAUGAAAAACAGAAGGAGUAAAUCUGAUCCUUGAGAAAAGCCGAGCAGAAAAUAACCCUACUUUGGAAGAUUAACAGAUAUUGAUCCUUUUACUCAACCCAUUCAAUUUGAAGGCUGAAAUUAGCUAGGUUAAAACCCCAGACUUUGUCAUUACUACGGAUCUGACACUAGAGGAUUCGUGGACGCUAUGUAAGUUCAACAUCAUUCUUUUUGGUGCCGGCCUAGCACCAUUCAAAUUGGCACUGACAGGGACAGAGAAGGAGAAGGGGGGGGGGGGGGCGGCUAAUCAUCUCAUUAAAAAUGACUUAAAAAUAAGUGAAGUCUCUACUUUGGCCCCAUGAUCAAAACUCGUCCCCCCGUCCCUUCUCAUGUUGAAUUACUGGUUCCGUCUCUGGGCACUGAGCAUUGCAACCCUCAACGCCAACUGGCUCGGUGCCAAGGUCCAAGGCCGGAACCCCUAAACUUUGAUUUUCUCGGUUCACUAAGUUCUUUUCAACGACGAGGUGUAUGGCGCUAAUCUAGCAAAGUUCAGUGCCACAGCUGUUGACAUUGAGCAAAAAGAUUGUAUUUGGUCGAAGUGUAAGUUCAACAUCAUUUUUUUUUGGUGCCGGCCCCCUAGACACCAAUCAGAUUGGCACUGAGCAUUGCUAGAGAUGUUUUUGGCUGAACUUAAAAUGGGUCAGUUUUGCCAAUUUGACAGCAAAAGGAGGAGACAAGGACGUACAAGCAGCCAUGAAUAGAAUAUCUGCAUUCACCCUGUGUCUUUCUUCUGACAAUUUUUGAAAAUUUCCGAAAGAUGAUUAGUGCAAAGCUUUAACCAAAUCUCAUAUUCGGCCUUCAUGAUACGUUUUUCUAAAACUGCCUUCAUGACACUGAACAGGCUAGGUUAGCACGAAUGCACGAUAUAUCUUGGCACACGAAACUUAGCACUUUCGCAAGCGGCCGAUAUUUUGAGGGACCGGCGGCAGCGCCUUAAGAUUGAUACGAUCCUCUAGCUUGCGAAGGACAAAACUUAAUUGCUUUCUUUUCCGAAGCGGAUAGGUUUUUUUUUUUCAGAAUAUUCCGAAGCGGAAAGCUAGGAGCCUAGCUAUAUCAUGUACUUUUCGUGCCACGUCUAUGCUCUAUCUGUCCCUUUCCCUUCUUAAAGAUGUUCUAUGUUUGUUUCAAAUGAGAAAAAGAAAAGAAAAAUCGAAUCGUGUUCGUGUCGCGCUGGGAGGCCCUGGCAAUGGGAUGCACAACUUGUUGUUAUUGUGUGGAGGGUACAUCCGUUUAUUAACAUGAGCUACAAAAAUUGUACUGACGAAAUACAACAUGUAUCUUGAUGAUUUUUGAUAUAUAUAUUCAUAUUUUAAUAAAUAUGAGUCACUUAGUAUGAAACGGAGAGAGUACUCUCUCUGUCUUAUAUUAAUCCAUACACAUUUUAAUUAGUGUGUACGUACAUGCGUAUCUAGAUAAAAUUGUGUCACUUGAUAUGAAACGGAGAGAGUAUUAGUUACUAUUUAAACCUAGUAGGCUGUGGAAUCGUCAUUUUUCUAGAGUACAAUUCCCAUCGCUAUAUAGAUUUCGUUAAGCCGUCAGGCUACGGGUACCCUCCUAAUAUUGCUUUUAGGAGGGCAAUUAUUGUUGCAAGAUUGAUUGCCUGGGAGGAGCUCUGUGGCUUGCUUCGCCUCGGUACACUUGGCGGACCAACCUGAUUCAUUUUUCUAGGUAUUGUUUAUGUUGAGUUUGUCUUUUAUGAAAUUUUUAUAUUUGUACGCGGAUUAAUUCCAGUUGUCAGUUCCGUCAUAAAAUUCUUUGGAAGCCGAAGGUUCCACUUAAGUUUAAGAUAUUUGCUUGGUUUGUUUGUCUGAGUGGUAGUUCUCGUUAAGGAUAAUCUAGCAAAAAGGAACUGGAAUGGCUGCAACAAAAUGUUAUUUUUGUUAUCAAAAUGAGACGAUUCAGCAUUUGCUUUUGGUUUUCCCAUAGCACGCUUGGUGUGAAGAGUUGCCUUUGUGGCAUUUAAUUUGCCGCCACCAUACGUCAUGUGUUCCCAAUAUGUUUGGGCAUUGCCGCGUCGGCUUUAGCCUCUGGGCAAACAACUUGGAUCGCUCAUUCUUGUAGGGCUUUGUCUGGAUCUGGAGGAAUGAUUUGGUUUUUAAUAAGAAAAAGUCCAACUUUUGCAGGUUAUUUUCCGGGUGGCUCACUGACUCUGUAGUUCUGAUGGUGGAUAAGAAUUCUAUGAAAUUUGGGUGCAACCGAUAAGAGACGGGAACACACGCGUUUUUCAGUCUAUUUGGCGCACCGUUCUUAUGCUACCAGGAUGAUAUGAUCUUUUCUAGCGUUUCUCAUGUUGGUUAUUUGUGAUUUGCACGAUUCUUGAAACUUCAAUAGUAUAAUGACUGUGUACAUCGAUGCGGAGAAAAAGUGCUCCCUGGCUUCUUAUCUUAAAAAAAAAAGACCUGGUAGAGGUUGUCCACUUAGUUCCGGAGUGUAUGCUGAAAAAGAAAAAAGAAAACAAACAUCCAAGACUCUACGUUCUUGAAAACAAAAUAUCCAGUGCUCCCACCUCUUUUGAUGCUACCAUGCUACCACGCAUGUUAACAUUCCUAUUUUUGUUUUCAAUUUUUUUGAAAUAAUUGAGUGAGUUCAUAAGACAUGUGUCUGAGUUGUCCUAAAAUUUCAACUCUAAAUUCAUUAUAAACAGAGAGGAACAAAAAAACAUUAAUAAUGUUAGCAAUUUUAUCUUUUGUGUUUUGUCUUUUUGCGACCUAUUCACAUCCCAAAUUGUUUUUUUUGUUUCUCUAUACAUAUAAUGAAUUUGGAUCUAAAACUUUGCAAGAUGGUAAACACAUAUCUUAUGAACCCACUCAAUUCAUUUCGAAUUUUUUUAAAAUUUUCUAGUAGUACCAUAUGUGUUGAUAGCACGGUAACACCUACAGGGUGGGAAUACGGGAUAUCCAGGGCUGAACUAGUAUCGAUCACCAAGAGUCCAUGUGCGAAAGGAAAAGCAGUGCGAAAAAAAAGAUGAAUCACCGGGCGAGACCUGUAUGCGCAUGAGGAGGUCGGAACUGUUCUUGGUCUGAUUCCGGCGGCUGGAGAACUCGAUGCGGGCAGCUUCUACGGCGGCGAUCUCGUCGGAGUCGUCAGGGUCGAACUCCCACACCUGCCGGCCAGCGUGGUCGUUCGUGGUGCGCAGCAGUGGGUUGCUGCGGCCCUCUGCGAUCUUUAGCUUCCACAUUGCUUAACUACGGAGUACUAUUGGUGGCCCUACACAACGUACCUAACAAGCCUCGCUCGCCACUCUAGCUAGCCGAUACAAGGAGCUAGCGGCUAAUAUAUAUAUACUACGGAAGAAAUCUGAGAUUGUCUGCUAGCUGCAGGGAUCGCGAUGUAUGUACCGGCUGACAUUACUGGAAUAUACUUCUUACAUUUCAUAAUUCUUGUGUCAAAUUUAUUCAAAAUUAGAUGUAUCUAUUCUUAAAAUAUGUCUAGAUACAUGUAAUUUCGACAGGAUAUGAUCCUAAAAUAUGUCUAGAUAUAGAUAUAUGUAAUUUCGACAGGAUAUGAUAGAAUAAUGACUUACUGGAUCCGUGGAUCAGUAGAUGCAUUGCUUUGUAACUAUGAGUUGGGUUGUACUCUUAAUCACUUGCAAUUAAGUUUUACUAAUUAAACAUAAUCUUCGGAAAUAGUUACAAUUUACUCAUGCAUUUUAACGGGUUUUAUAUAGUACUGUAAUUUAUUUGAUCAGAAACAAUAAGAGAUUAUCCUACUGUAACAAAUUAAACCUAAAAAUAUUUACAUGGAGAAUCUCCACGACCUAGCUAUGCACUCUGCGUCAACUGACACUCACAUAGCAUCCCUUUUCCCUGACUCAUCCUAUGGAAUCUUCCAUCGAGUCAAAACAGUUUUGGAGUUUUUGUAAACAAAACUUGAAGAUCUCCACUUCUCCUGACUUAAUGACUCAAAGUCGCCCGUAAGCAGGGGCAUGGCUAAUCAAUUAGAUUGACACUAUCGAGAGGUUUGUACACUUUACCCACUUGACACAAUCAGUCCAAAGUGUUGCCUGACCACAAGCGUGCGCAACAGGUAAAAAUUGUGACGAACUCUUUCACUAGAAGCCCCUGAUACCUAAUUCUGGCACCGCCCACCCCAUAUGAGCACAUUGGCCCCUCUCUGGAUGGCGAUACGCAGGUAAGGGUUUGAUGUGGCUGCGGGUGGCCCGAUCUUUCGAUGAGAUUGAUAACUCUCGAUUUGGGUAGGAGGUGACGUUGACGAUCCGACUACGGCCUAGAAGGCAGCGGCUUAGCAAUCGAUACACAACCUCCAGAGGGUUAUUGAUUACGCGGGGGCACGAUCAACCUGACCACGAAGGUCUUUGUUCCUGCAAGCAAUCGAAGAACAAGUAAGAACAAGAUAAAUAGCGGAUGCAAUCUGAAAUUGCGAAUAUACUAUAUCAAACCAAUGUCUCAACGAGACAAUAAGUUGGGGUUCCGAAAGCAGUAAAGCAGGUGGUCUAAACGACACACGCGAUUAUACGAAGUAGUAGCGAUGGCUAACUUUUAACUCAACAAAACCCAAGGCUCCUUAGGGGGGCUCGUGGGGUAUAUAUAAAGGAGCAGGGAGAGAGAUUUUCGUCCACCUUGAGUAACGAGCCCGAAAUCCAAAUCUAUCUCUAACUUUCCUAACAAACUACAACUCUUUAGGAAACAGAAAAACAGAUCCGUCAGCUUGUUUUCUCCGCCACGGUCAGCACGCGUCGAAUCUACUUGUUGGGCCGGAUCCGUUGGAAAGGUAUUGUAAUUGUAUUUCCAACAAGUAAUUGUUUGCUUGAUUUGGACUCCGGAUGCGGCCUGGGUGAUUAAAACAAAUUCGAGUCUCCUGACAGGUCGGACCCGAAUCGGAUUCAACUUUACUUCGUGAUAUCUUUCUCUAGCAAGUUUCAUGUGCCGUUUGAUUUGUUAGAAAGUAGACUUGAUAGGCUUCAUUUUGAAUCUCCCUUUGCAGGCUAUCACACUUCAUAUUCACUUUGGACUUGUAAAGUUUAAUAAGAUGCCUACAUAAUAAGAUUGCAUAAGAUAGAAGCUCCGCCUCUUUGCAAGUAACAUAUAGAAAACAUUUAGUAAUUGAAUUCACCUGAUUAUAAUCGUUAUUAGAUACACCAACAAUUAGGGUUCUAAUGGUCGUAUCCAUGGUGAUCAUGUCCAUAUCAGGGUUUCCCGCUAGUUAGUAAACCAAGUCAGAGCCCAUAAUAGCAAGUGGUUGCACAAGAAGCCUUUGGGUACAUGAGAAGAUUUGAACUCUUGGAUUUCUCGACGGCGAUCCCCACCUUCUCCUGAGCGUGUACCCGUUACGGGGUUACAACACUUGCCGACAGCCAACUGGCCUCCAUCAUACCACUCUGUCCAGAUAAAACAUUUUGGUUUUAUUUCAAAAACAUUUUUCCAAAAACAUACUCGCUCAUAAAGAGCACUUAAUACUUUUCAAUAUAGUUUGCGUCCCGUCCCGUUAUAAUAGUACAGCAUGCUUUGGAAAAUGUAAAUACAUAACCUAUGGUAUUUGGUGGCAUGGUAAUAAAGUCCUAUAAGCAAUCUACUAGGAAUAACUAAAACAUGUUGAAAACGCAUGUGAUAAAUACUUCAUAAAGAAAUAACUCUAACAUGCAUCCCUAUGACAUUGUAAACAAAAUAGCAUAAGCAAAAAUAUAGGUACUACAUGAUCAAUAAGUGUAACUUGCCUGGAUCAGAAAAGUGGCUAUGGUUGUCAACUCGCUGGCACUCACAAUCCGAAUAAUCUAACGCGAAGAAUGAAACAAAAUAAAUGUAUAGCUCCAAGCAUAAAUCAAAAUCCAACUAUAACUCCAAAUGAACUUCGAAUAACAAAAUGUAUUCCCAAACAUUGAAGAACAAAACCCAAACUUCAUACAAAUAAUACUAGAGUACCAACAAACAUGGUUCUAAAACCUAUAGCCAAGCCUAGAGUGGCUAAGUCUGAAAUUCAGUAAUCUGCUACAGUUAACAGGUUGCAACUAAGGUUGACAGAUAAUAGGUGCUAAAGUACAGAACAUGGAAUGAAAAGUAUGCUACUGGACAGUACUAAGAUUGUACUAACGCAACUGGUUUUGUGCCCAAUUGGAUCUACAGAUCGAAAGUUACUGGCUUGCAAAGGUGACUAGUCCGAUUCUGACAGAUAAUAGAUACUAGCUUCUACUGAAAAGCUACUGGUGCUAAACUAUUCGAAAGAUAGAGAACUACAACUAUGAAUCCAAGAAUAUAAUCUAUUCUUCAAAAUGACGCUAGUUACACAAACAUUGGAGAUAUGAGCUAAUAGCUAUGAACAGAUGUAUGUGGCUGCUCUAAAACAGAACAGUACAGGAUACAAACUUCUACUGUCAUGCUACUAGUGAAGAUGAAUUUGAAACGACCCAAUUAGGGAACUACUGUGUAGGCGAGUACCUAAGGUUCCAACUACAGCAAGAAUAAACCAAAAUAAUGCUGCAGACAACAGGAAGAACUACUGUGAACUAGGCAACUCGGUAAGAAAAGAUGUGGCAACUUCCUGCCGCGGCAGAGAGGCUGCUAAGAAUACAGUUUUGCAACGAUGAUGCAGUGCUGAAGAUGAACCAUCUAUGGCUACGCACUAAAGAACAAUCACAGAGCAACAUACACUAUACACAAUGGUGAAACCUAGAGCACAACAUGAUCAGCGGUUUGCUAACAGUCGAUGCCUAAAGAGGGCUAAUCGAACAACUUACGGUGCAGAGGGAAGAUGAACAAGUUCAUACCUCGUAUCUCACCGGAGAUGAACGGAAUCGAAGAAGAGAGGCUCUGGGGGGUGGACGAGGUUCACGGCUUCGCGGGAAGAAGAAUGGCGGCGGCGUCUUGCUCCGGGGUGGCUCCAAGCGGCGGCGCGUCGUGGCUACGGCGAUGGCAUCCUCGGUCGUCGUCGUCGGGGUCCUCCGGCGUGCUCCAACGCCGAUGCCGUCGUGUACGUGAUCGAGGACGUCACUGCGAACUCAAAGGAGUCGACGUUGGUCUUCUGGGCAUGCUGCAGCCACUACUAGAAAUCUAAGAUAAGCCGAUAGUAGUUUCAGAUGGCCGACAGCCCGUCGGUAAUUUUAAUAAUAGCCGACAGUUGUUUACAUGGCCGACUGUUUCAAUUGGACCACACAUAUAUUAACUGUUAUAUCCGAUGGUUGGAGUUGGGCGGCGGCACUGCUCCGAGGACGACGCGGCCAAUGGCUUCCAUUGAUCGCAAGAUCGUCAACAAUGGCGGUGGUGGAUGGCGGACAGAGACAUCGAGGAUACGGGCUCUACAGGGGUUCAUAAGGGAAACUUUCAAUACGACAACGAGGGAGGAUUGGUCUGGACACAAGAUGACGCGCUAGGGAUUGUCUUAUAUAAUCCGAGGAGGGAGACUGGGACGUGGAUGUUGUCAGUUGGCAUUCGGGGCGCGUGAGUUUUGUGACGCGAUGGAGGGAAAAGGUUCAACUUUUGACUGAAUCGGUUCUCGGGGAGAUGGGAUCAAAUAUUUGGUCUCGGAUCGAAGAUAAACGGUUGGGUCGAGGGGAUCAACCGGCGGCCGACGUACGUGCGUGCGUUCUUGGUAGGGGUCGUGCGCGAGGUGGAAGACGACCGAGUCUGACUUGGUCGCUUGCUGGGCUGGGGCAGCCGACUGGGCUGAUCAGCCAAGAGAUGGGCCAGAGGUAGGCUUCGGCCCAAGAGUGGAAAGGAAAAGAAAAGAAAUUGGUUGCUGGGCUUGGACCUGGCAAACGGUUGGGCUGUGGUUUGUGGGUUUCGGCCCAGAGAGGAGUUCAGCUAUUUCUAACCUUCCGCUCAUUACAAAAUCACAGGAAAUUUAAAUAUGGCUUUUACAAAUACCACAUGGAACUCCGAAACAUUCUUUAAAGUUUCAUUAAAUCAAAAUAGUCAUCAUGGGCUUAGGAAAUAUAGUUUCCACCCAAAUGUCCUUUUAUAAAUACUUUUAAAUUAAAAUAAAUUUUGAAUAAGCUCCAAAUAGAACCUCAAUAUAUUUCUAUAGUUCACCAAAUUCGCAAAUAAAUCAAUAACAUCAAACCAAGCACUUUGAAACCAUUAAAAAUAUUUCCAACUAUAUAUAUUUGAGAAGUCACGUUAUCCCACUCUUAGUGAUUAAAUAAAUGUUGAAAAAACAUUUGAACAUGAGGAUGUCAUGUUACCCUCUUCUCUCUUAUUUGAUCAUUCCUUUUAGGAAAUGAUGAAUAAAUAUAAAAAAUAAGAACCAAGAAACAUAGGUGAUCUAUUAAAUAUUUUUUCCAACCUUAAAAAUGGGAAAGUCAUAUUAUUCCCUCUCUUUAUCAUUUGAAUAAAUAUUGGAAAUCAUUUCUAAUGAUUCAGAAUUCUAAAGACGAUGAAAACCAAUAAUGAACAUGAUAUGCUUUCGUCAACAUACAAAGAUCCUUUAAUAAAUCCACAAAAUGAAGUAGAAUUUGUUGAGUUUCCAAACUCCAAACAACAUCAUAAAAUGGAAAUCGAUUGAAAUAGAAAUACUAUGAAAUUGAAUAAGUCUGUAAACCAUGACGUAUAAUUUGGAUAGUCAUCUUAAUCCACUCUUUUGUUGAAAAUUUCAUCGUGAUGAGAAAAAUUCAAAUAAGUCCUGAAAAUUUUAAAUUCUUCGUAAAAAUCAACCAAAUCUCAACAAGAAAGUUUUCAAAACAACAAAUUUAAUUAGAAUAAUUAUUUUUAUUUAACAUUCCAAAAUGAGAAAUUUCGGGAUGUUACAAAGGAUGACGGGGGGAGCUCAGCCCCGGUCGGGACCGCGUGGGGGUGCUCUCCCCACCCUCCUUUCUUCCUUUUUGAAAAAGGUGGCUUGUCUUCCGUCUAUUUUUGCUAGGCUUGGACAGUGGAGAGGACGGCGAGGUGUCGGCCUUGCAUUCGCCGGCCCGGACGCCAAGGAGCCCCCUUCAGCCUAUAAAAUGGAGCCAAGAGCUCAUGGUGGAGCUCCACACCGGUCUUGUUUGAUUUUUCCGGCGCCGAAGCCUCAUUCGGCGGCGCCCAAAACUUCUUCGGGACUUGGUGUUCUAGGGUGCCUUGUAGGGGCAUUAGUCACUUCCUCGUAGCCACGGAGAUUGUUUUGGCCGUGAGGGAGCUACAACGGAAGCUCGUCUUCAUGGGGCCGCGGUGCCGGUCGUGUCUUCAAGUCCUCCCGGGGGGCCCUCGACGUCGGCCGGUUCCUCCUUGCUCGUGCAAAGGUGAGGUGGACACACCCGCGCUGAUUUUGGCUUCCUUGGGCGUCGGUAGGCCUUCUAGUCAUUCCGUCGAGCAUCUUCGGUGCGAGCGGGGCGUGACACGGAGUGACGGGGCGCGAGGUCGUCCGGCGUGGUGCACGUGGCAAGGCGCGCCGAGGCGCCAGUCGAGGGUCGGCGUGACGCAUGCCGUUUGGGCUCACGCGUGACUCGCAACUUCGUGAGCGCGGAGCGGGCCGGCAAGGCGCGGGCGCAGGCAUUGAGCUCUCGGGGCAUGCGCACGGGGUGGCACGCGUGCUCGUAGAGCUUCGUCAGCAUGGAGCAUCGGGAGCGUGCGGGCAUGCCCGGCGCGGCACGGGCACGCGCGACGCGGUAUGGCACGGCGCGGAUGCGCACGAUGCGGUGCGAGCAGGGCGCUUAUGGCACGGCGCGGCGCGGGUGCCCACGGGACCGGACACGCGAGAGCGGCAUUGUGCGGAACACUCGGUGGGCGCGGGCAACAGUUUUUGCUGCGCCCUUUCCCUUCUUUUUUUUGCUGCACACAGACGGGUCGUCGAGCGGGUGGGCCGCUGGCUUUGGCCCGGCAGGCUUGGCCUCUUUUUUCUCCUUUUUUUCGUUUGCACGCUAGCAGGCCGAGCGCUUCUCAGCCCGGGAGGCCUAUCCUCUCUUUGUUUUUGCAUGCUGGCAGGCCGAGCGCUUCUCGGCCCGGGAGGCUUGGCCUCUCUUCUUUGUUUUGGGUUGCUAUUCUCUUUGAGAUUUCCCCGCAUUCCUACUAACCGUUGUCGAAUCUUUGUUCGUGUAGGUGAGAUGGCGGGACCCGACGCCGAGCACGCGACUGAGAGGGAGCCUUUCAAGGGCUCUGCGGCGGAGCGCGCGGCGAGCCAACCAUCGAGGAAGAAGAAGGUCGUCUUUUGCCCAUGUGGGGAUCCUCCGGUUGUCCCGGUGGCUCCAAUGGAGGGCGGUUGGGCUCACGACUACCUUCUCCCGUCUUCGAUGAGUCCCGAGGACCUUGCUCAGCUGGAGGAGGCGGGAUACUUCCCCAAGGGGGAUGGUAUCUUGCCUGAUGGCGAGGAGUUCAGGCUCGACCACAAGCGGCACCCAGGGUGCAUCGUGGUGUUCUUGGCUUGGUUCCACGCGGCUUGUGUGUGCCCGUCCACUCCUUCCUGCUGGAGUUCCUGGAGACGUACGGCAUCGAGUUGGCUCAGCUUCAUCCUUCGGCGAUCGUGAGGUUUAACGUGUUUCGGUGGCUGUGCGAGACGGCACUUCACAAGGAGCCUUAGAUGAGGUUGUUGCUGUUCUACUUCACCGUGGAGGCUCACUCCUGAUGGCUUUACUCUGGGCGCCUUUGGUUCGGUGAACCUGACGCUUCAUUCCGGUUUUGGAGACGACUUUCUGCUCAUGCUGGGGAGGAGCACGGUGAAGUUGUUUGACAAGUGGGAGUCCUAGUGGUUUUUCCUUUGGGCUUCAAGGACACGUCUUCGGCACACUGGUGAUCUUCCUCGACACUCGGGGGCUGGAGGCCUCAAGGAGGUGCCUCACCCUGGCGAGCCUCGGUCGGCCGACCUUUGGAAGGUGACAAAGAUCAAGGAGGUGUCUGCCGAGAGGAGCUUUUGCAACCUUAUGGAGGAGAUGGUGAGGGCGGGGCGCUUCAUGAUGAGGAGCUGCCCAAGGUCCGAGCUCGGGGUUCCUCGGUCUUUCCGCCCCCCGCAGUUUAUCACCACGCGUGAGUACCGCUCCUUUUUCCCUUCGGGCCUUGAUUGUUUUUCCCUCGCGAUGGUACUUAACAACUUUGGCUUGUCUCUUUUUAGCGACAUUUCCGAGGAGAGGGCGGCGCUAUGGGCCGUGCAGCUGAUGGGUUCGUACGUCGGGGCGGAGCAUCGUGGCUACGAGACCAAGAUCAGUGGCGGGCGAUGUCACAACAUCAUUGCGAAGUUCUUGGGAAGAUGGUGCCGAUGUGAAAGGUUCCGAAGUUCGGGCGCCUUCUUCGAGUGGGCGAUCGCUACUCCCACUUGGCGACACCGUCAAUGUUGGCGGUAGGGUCCAAGCUGCGGGACAUUUGCGGGAAGGUGAAGGCGGGAACGGCGGUGUUGGGUCUGGCGGUGCCCGUUGUGACGGUCCCCAAGAUACCUCGUCUGUCAAGUGGAUGCAAGAGGAAGGCUCCCUCGACUCCUUCUCCUUCUUACGACUACGCCCCGGUGGAUUCAGCGGAUCCCGUCAUGGAUGAGUCGAGGUCCCUCCUGAGAGAGACUUUUGACCUGCACAUGAAGGGGAAGAUUGGACUUGAGCAAGUGCUUCCUCCUUCGAGCCACGAGCUUGAGGCUUUCACUCGCGAGACGGGGCUUCGGCUUCGGAGCGACUCGGCGGUGCGGGCGUCUAGGUGUUCUCCAUCGGUCACGAGCGUCCCGAGGAGGAUGCUCCUACCUCGGGUGAGUGCCUUUCUCUUUUGGUUGUGUCGCUCUUAUUUGAAGAUUUUGACAUGAUUUCCUUGGUUUGCUUUCAGGUGUGAGGGUCGCUGCGCCCAGGGUUCCCGAGGGCGAGCCCCCGACUCAAGCGAGGGACGGAGAGCUUCCGACGACCGAGGAUGGAGGGAGAGACCCUCUCGUGACACUGGAGCUGGUGAGCAUCCGUAACAUGUCUCGCUUGGUCCUUCGGGUUUGCUUUUGGGCUAACUCCGUCUUCUCCGUAGGUGCGGGGUUUGGUCGAGGCCGUGGGUGCCCUUCCUGCCCUCAAGACUCAGGUGGGGGCGCUUUCCGCCGCUUUGGACAUGGAGAUGUCCAAGUCCACCCUUGCCUUGAGUGAGUUGGCUUCGGAGAGGGCUCGGCGCGAGGCCGUGGAGGCCGAGCUUUCUCGCGUUUCGGUGGAGCUUGCGGCCGUGGUGACCAGGGGUCGGCUUGCUGAGGAGCGUCAGAAGGACAAGAUCGAGAGGACCCGUUGAGUUGAGGAGGACUUGGUGGUGGCCAACCUUGAUAGGGAGCAUGCUCGAGCGGAGGCUGCUUCCCUCAAGGUAGAGUUGGCGGCAGCGGGGGACAGCCCGAUGCUCGCUCCUCGUUCUCCGCCUCCUCCGGAUCGUCGCCCCAAGGUGGUCUCGCUUUUACUUGCUCAGGCCACCGAGAUUCGGGAGACGAUGAUUUGCUUGAGGAGCGUUUCCCAGCCGGACCUUCCUCCGUGUCGUACGGUGGAUGAGGCGAGCAGGGUGCUUACUUCCCAGGUGGAGCUCAUUGUGCCUACCGUGAAGAAGUGCCUCUUGAGUACGGGUGCUCGACUUGUUUCGUCGGCGGUUGCGGUAGUCCUGAACGGCGUUGCCGGGAUGAGCGAACGUGAGAGUGAGAUGUCUCAUGGGGCGAAGAAGUUUCUGGUGGACCAGGGUGCUCCUCUUCGCGCUCAGGCUCGACGCUUCGUGCAUUGCCUUGAGCCUGCUCUUCAGGAGGGUGACGGUGAGGUGUGAGCCUCGUCGCCCUCGGAGGUGAUGAUGUUCCUCAGCUGCUUACUUAUGCGAUGUUGCAUAUCUCCACUUGACUUAGCCUCAUGGCUAGCAUGUUUAGGGUUUUGGUUGUAGAGGUUGUAAGACAACUUUUUUGUUGUGUUUCAUGCUUCACUAUGUAGUCAACAUUAUCGAAAAUGUUCACUUAGCUCAGCAUGUAUUUCUCAAGUUUCACCAUGUAGUCGACAUUAUCGGAAAUGUUAACUUGGCUCCACAUGUGUUUCUUGGAGUACUAUAUUUCCUUCUUGUGAAGUACUAUAUUUCCUCAGUUUAUACAGCUCGCGAUCGUUCGCUAUGAUUACACUUUUGUGUUAUCAAUUGCUGUCGCCGUUGGGAUACGACUCGGCUUCGGCACCUUAGGCCAUGGUUACGAGCCAUGGAUCCUAGUACCCUUGUGAGGGUCGCUAUCGAUAUGCCGGUAGUGAUCCGGACAUUUCGACCUGCUGUUUGGGAAAUUUCAUGCAGAAUUUUCCCUCUUCAGACUUCAGGAAGCUAUGCUUUCCCGCGAUUAUUAUGGAGCCUUAAUCCGGUUACUAUCAUGCAGGCCCGUGCACGACGUCUCACAUACGGGUAGCAUGGUUCUCCGAGGUAAGUAAGCUCAUGCAUAACUCGCUUAUUUACGGUUCCCCUUAAAUGCAUUUUAAGGAGCUUCCGGCCCUCGAGAGACUUAGUUCUACUUCGUGGAUGGCCUCGAGGCACACUAGGAUCCAUCAAGGAGCGAGUCGCCAGUAGCGACCUAUGUCCGUGGACAUUUUUAGAGGAUGCUCGGGCCAACGGAGGCCUUUUUGCGUUCCUCGGUGAGUGGCACAGGGGCAGCGGCUCUUUUUACGACGAUGAGUCAUGUGAGUGUCUCGUGUCACUCUUAAUUUUUCCUCAAGGACUGGCUUUAUUGAUUCUUGCUUCCUUGUCUUAAGGUAUGGCCUGAUGGGCACUUACAAGCGUUAUGUAGAUGUGCCCUCGUUGGCGCUUACGAUUCCUCCAAGUUUCAUAGGGAACCGGCCGGUUGGGCGCUGAUAGUCUUCUUUUGGGAGCGGCGAGGAUUGUCUCUGAAGUUCAUACUUAGGCGUAGAAACGCCAGAAUUUGUCGCCGUUCCAGGCAUGGACAAGGUUUUGCCCUUCCAUAUUCUUGAGGUGGUAUGCACCAUUUCCCAAUACUGCGGCGAUGUGGUAUGAUCCUUCCCAAUUACGGUCAAGUUUGCGCUGGAGUUUUGGGUCGAAGUUCUUUUUCCGCACGAGAUCUCCUUGGGAGAAGGCUCGUUCCCGCACCCUUGUGUUGUAGAAGUGUACGGCGCUUUGCUCGUAAACGGCAUGCCUCAUGAGAGCUUUGUCACGAGAUUCUUCCACAAGAUCGAUGGCCGUAUUGUGAUGCUCUUCAUUUUCGAUGAAGGCAAGUGGAGUGGCCUCUUGGUGCCUUUCAACCCGAGGUCAGCGGAACUCGACCUCGGCGGGAAGAACUGCUUCGGCGCCAUAUACAAAAUAGAAUGGUGUUCGGCCCGUGGAACGGCAUACGGAGGUGCGUAUGCCCCAAACCACGCUAGCGAGUUCGUCUCCACAUGCUCCUCUAGCUUUGCUAACCGUGUGCUUUACCCUUCGACGGAGUCCUUGGAGGAUUAGUCCAUUAGCCCAUUCGCAUGCGCCGUUGCUCUUGGAGUAAACUACGGAUGCGAAAUGCAGCUUGAUCUCAAGGCAUUCGCAGAAUUUGAUGAAUUCUGCACAUUCGAACUGUUUGCCGUUGUCCACAGUUAGCUCUCGUGGGACGUCAUAUCAGCAUAUGAUGUUUUCCCAGAAAAAUUUCUGGACGGCCUGUGACGUGAUUUUGCCAAGCGGCGUUGAUUCUAUCCAUUUGGAGAAGUAAUCAAUCGUCACUACGAGGUACUUGCAUCCCCCGUUGCAUGCGGGGAAAGGCCCGAGAAGGUCCAUUCCCUAGUGUGCAAAUAGCCAUGUUAUCAGCAUAUUCUUCAGGGAAGUCACGGGCGUAUGGAUUGACUUAGCCAUUUUUUUUACAAGCUUCGCAUUUCCGCAAUAUGGUGAUUGCGUCUUGCACCAUGGUGGGCCAAUAGAAUCCCUGACGUAAGGCUUUUGUCGUGGUGGCUCUUGGCGCAAGAUGGUGGCCGCAUAUUCCUGAAUGGAUUUCCAGGAGGAGCUCGGCUCCUCGGUCAGGGGUUAUGCACUUAAGCAACGCAGCCGCUCCUUUCUUGUAUAUGAUGCCGUCGAGGAGGACGUACAUCUUGGCUUUUGCGAGCAGAAUUUUGGCGGUCGGGCCUUCCGCUUCUUCAUCCACCUCGCCUUUAUGGCGCGGAUAAUCGGUGUCAUUCAAGAGGGUGGAGUGUCGAUGACCAUGCUAGUCUUCAAAGCUUCGUCAAGGGCAUCGGUUUCUUCCUUUAUGGAUGGGGCGUGAAUUACUUCGAAGAAUGCACCGGGUGGCAGUGGUUCUUUGGAACCAGCCGUUCGGGCUAACCUGUCGGCCAGGUGAUUUUCUCCUCGUGGAAUGCAUCGCGCCUCCAUGUCCAGGAAAUACCAUUCCAUCUUGCGAACUUCUUCGGUAUAUUUCUUCAUCCUUUCAUCAAGGCGUUGAUAUGACUUGUCCAUUUGGUUUAUCACCAGUUGGGAGUCUCCUUGGAUGAGAAGGCAUCAAACUCCCAUGGCCUUGGCCAAUCGAAGUCCGAGAAGAAGCGCCUCAUAUUCUGCCAUAUUGUUGGUGGCAUUGAAAUCAAGAUGGGCAGUGUACUCCAAGAUCUUGCCUUUGGGGCUGAUGCGCACGACUCCAGCCCCCGCACCGUUGAGGUGCUUGGAGCCAUCCAACCUAAUUAUCCAAUCUGGUUCGGGGGGCUCGGUCUUGGAUGUGAUUUCUUCGGGCGGGACUAGUGGAGCGUGCCACUCGGCCAUGAAGUUAGCCAUGACUUGGGAUUUUAUGGCCGUUCUCGCCGAGAGUUCCAACGAGAAUUGGGAGCCAAUUCCGUUGCCCAUUUGGCGAUUCUUCCGGUGGCCUCCUUGUUGCCGAAGACUUCCUUGAGUGGGAAAGCAGUUGGCACCAUGAUGGUGUGUCCCAUGAAGUAAUGACGGAGCUUUCGAGAGGUCAUGAGGAGGGCGUAUGCGAUCUUCUCGAUUUGGGUGUAUCGACCAUUUGCUCCUCCCAAAGCUUCGCCCACGUAAUAUACUGGGCGUUGUGACCCAUCUUCUUCCUUCAUGAGUGCUGCACUUACGGCGACCGGGGUCGCAGCAAGGUAUAAGAGCAAAGGCUCCCCCUGCUUUGGGCUCGUGAGAAGUGGAGGGGCGACAAAUAGGUCUUGAGCUCUUUGAAGGCCUUUUGAGCUUCGUCGGUCCACUCGAAGUUGUCGAGGCUUCUUAAGGGUUUAAAAAAAGGAAGACCCUUCUCGGCUGACCGGGUGACGAAUCGUCCCGAGGCCGCCAUUCUUCCCACUAGGCGUUGCACAUCUUUGACGGAGCGAGGAGGCUCGAUCUCUAGGAUGGCCCGGAUUUUCUCCGGGUUGGCCUCGAUCCCUCGUUGAGAGAUAAGGAAGCCCAAGAGUUUUCCUCCUCGAACUCUGAAUGCGCACUUCUCCGGAUUGAGCUUCACACCAUACUUGCAAAGAUAGUCGAAGGUUUCUUGCAGGUCCUUGGGAUGAGCCUUCGCAAUUUGACUUUUGAUGAUGGUCGUCAACAUAGACUUCGGCAUUCCUCCCAAUUGUUCUUUGAGGAUAAGACUGACGAGGCGUUGGAAAGUUGCGCCAACAUUUCUCAAACCAAAAGGCAUCCUGCGAUAGCAGAAGGUGCCGAUGGGAGUGAUGAAGCUGGUCUUUUCCUCGUCUUCCUUGGCCAUGUGGACUUGAUGAUAUCCUGAGUAGGUGUCCAAGAAGUUCAACCUUCCGCAUCCCGCCGUGGAGUCGACCAGUUGGUCGAUCCGAGGGAGCAGGUAGUCGUGCUUGGGGCACGCCUUGUUCAAGUCGGUGAAGUCGACACACAUUCGCCACUUGCCUUUGGCUUUUUUCACCAAGACCGGAUUGGUUAACCAUUCGGUGUGCCAAACUUUUCGGAUGAGCCUGGCGUCGGAGAGUUUGGCGAUUUCAUGCUUGAUGACUUCGCUUCGCUCAGUGGAGAGCUUCCGAAGCUUUUGCUUUACGGGAGCUUUGUCGGGCCUCACGGUGAGGCGAUGCUCCAUCACGUCGCACGGGACUCCUCCCAUCUCAGAAGGUAACCAAGCGAAGAGGUCGGAAUUCUUUCGAAGAAGGCCGAUGAGUUCUUCCUCGAGUUCGCUCGGGAGGUCGGCUCAGAUCUUCACCGUGCACGUGACAUCAUCUUGGGAGACGCGUACUUCCUUGAGUUCUCCUUCGGGGAGCGGCUUAGGGAUGUAGCGUUCCGGGUGAUCAAUUUCAGAUGCUCCCGCGUUCGAAAGCAUGUUGACACUCUUGGAUGAUUCUCCCUUCUCGGCGCAUUUGGUCUCAUGACGGUAGAGCGUCUUCCUACCGGAAGAUUGUUCGCCGCGGACCGUUAUCAUGCCUUUCGGGCCCGGGAUCUUCAUGCACAAGAAGUUGUGGUGGAUGGCGGCGCAGAGACGGUUUAACGUCCUCCUCCUGAGGAUGGCGUUAAAGGAGGCCUCCAUAUGCACCACGUCGAAGCGCACGAGCUCGGUUCGAUGAUUCGUGGCAUCUCCAAAGGUCGUAAGGAGCUCAAUUUGUCCAAGCGGCUGAAUGGACUUCCCUUGCACGAAGCCGGUAAGAGGAUAAAGGGAUGGCUGCAAUGAGCCGUUCUUGUAUCCCCCUUGGGGUUCCAUCAGCUUCUUCAACGUGCUCAGAUAUAGGAUGUCGGCGGAGCUUCCGCCAUCCACAAGAAUUUUCUUGAGCUCACAAUUGGCGACGAUCGCCGUCACGAAGAGGGCGUCGUCGUGUGGGAAGCGUAUCCCCUUGGCAUCUUCCUCGGUGAAGGCAAUUGGCACGCUCGCUCACUUUGGUGUCGGUGUCGGGGUGAAGGUUCCCACGACGUUGACUUCGCGAGCUUACACCUUGCAUUUCCGCUUCGAUCCCCGGCCUGUGGCGGAGCCCCUGAGGAUCACUCUGACGUGAUGCGCGGGUUCCUGAAACGGGAGGUUAUCCUCCUUAGGUGUCGGGUCAGCGACAAGGACGUUGGCGGGGCGUGUAGACUCGGUUGUCUUCUCAUCCUUGCGCUGGGCUUGCAUUCGUGCCUAGAACUCUUCGCGAGCCGCGAUGAAAGUGUUGCACUCCUCAGUGUUGUGGCUUGCCGAGUUGUCGAUGAAGCAUCUUCCAGUUCCUUCCUCAGUGGGGCGAGGUGGCUUCUUGGGUUGCCAAGUCUUUUGAAACGAUGCUUGUCCUUCGACGGCGAAGAUCUUCCGGGCUUGGUCACCGGGGGCCUUUUUUCCCGACAUCCUCUUCUUCUUGGAGGAUGAAGUAGGCGCAGGGGUUUGUCGGACGAGGGAGUUCCUUCGGGAGCGGCGCGCGGCGCGUCCUUUUUGGCAAUGUCCCCGUCUUCGUCCCGGGCGUAUUUUUGCAAGAUUCGGUAGAGCUCCUCGGUUGUCUUUGGAGGGUUACGACUUAGGGCUCGAUUCACUUCUCCUUGGAGAAGGCCUUGCAUGCACGCGUCGAUCACGGUGGUCGACAGCGGGUUGGCGAUUUGACUUCGGACCUUCGCAAAGCGAUGGAAGAAGCUUCGGAGGGAUUCUCCCGUCUUUUGUUUCACGGCGUAAAGCUCAUGAGCCUGCAUGGGUUCCUUGAAAUUUCCUUGGAAGUUUGCGAUGAAGACAUCUUGGAGGUGCUCCCACGAGUGCACGGAGUUCUUCCGCAGGUUAUAAAAACAAGUUUGCACCAUCCCGAUGAGCGUGAGCAGAAAGAUGUUGCACAUCUCGACGAGUCCUCCCUCGGCGGCCCGUAUGGCGGUGGAGUAAUCAUAUAGAAACUGAAGAGGAUUUGAUUCCCCGUCGUACGGCCGUAUCGUAGGCGGCUUGAACCUUGGCGGAAAGGGCACGUCUUAGAUCUCCCGUGUCAGCGGGUUACAAGUCGGCCGGUCCUUUCGGUUCCUUCGGCGGCGAGGUCUUCCCUUGUCGGAGUUGCUUUCGUCGCUAGAAGAGUCGCUUGGAGAAUGAUCUCGGCGUUUUCUUGGGGGGUCGGAGCAUCGACAGGAAUUUCUUUCGCUGCCGGCACGGGCUCCGGACUCUGCCACUUGCUCGUUUCCAUGCACGCUGGGGUCUCGUUCUCCGCGAGGCGCAGCUUGAGGCGGUACUUGGUUGCCACCUUGCUCGACCCCGGCGGGGGGAGCAAGGGGCGCUUGCGGGGCGUUCGCAAAGCGAGUUUGGUGUUGAGCGUGCGCUACUUGGAGAACACCAUGCGGCGGAAGCCCCCAAUAAGGGUGAUACUAAGGAGCUCCAUGGACGACCGCGACGAGUGCCAGCGGGGGUAGUCCCGCGUUCGAGGGGUCGUAAGCCGGGACUCCUUAGUUUUCUGGCACGGAUCCUCCUGACGCCACAUUGUUUCCUCUUGUAGGUUCCGAGAGCAAUGUCACUACCGGUUGUAGGGAAGGUGGCGAAAAGCCCAUCGAGCGACGCAUGCCGAGUUCCGUAUUCCCUGCGGGGGCGGCAACCGUAGGCAGCUCGCCGAUCCUUGCCACCACAUCGGUGAGUGUCGAGGGACCGCCUACGAUGGUUUUGAGCACCUCGGUUUCUUCGGGGACGGCUGGAAGCAGAGGUGCGACCACAACUUCCGUUGUAGCGACCAUGCUUGCGGCGACGUCCGGAUUGGUGAGGAUUCCUUCUUCCUCGGGAGCCCCCGAGGCGCUUGCUUUCUUCGUUUGUAACCAUGUAGACUUUGCGGCAAGUUGGGCACCUGAUGAAGUAGGCUUCGUCGGGCCAUUAAAUCUUCAAUUGCGGCGAGGGUUCCCCACGGUCGGUGCCACUAUUGUUGUUGUCGACAACAAUUAGAAUAAGGGAUGCCAAAGCUCGAUGACACAAGUGCAUGAAAGUAGGGCGUGUACGCCGGCCUUAUAGCGAAGGUCGCCAUACACUUGGACAAGUUGACCCUGCGGGUGUGACCUAGUCCUAUGUUAGGAGAGGCUUCGGGCAAAUCGUUAGCCAAAGUGUUUUGGGUCGAUCGCGACUCCCCGAAUCACUUAGCGAGAGGUCGAAAGGGGCCGCCUCGUACUUGGGCCGAGCGAGGCUUCCCAAGUAGUGAGGUCGAGAUACCCUUAGGACUCUAACCCGACUUCUCUUCCCUCAGGCUCGGGCCGAACGAGGCUUGCCGAGAUCUCAAAACUAGAGCUCCUCUCCAAGAGGCUCUCUAGCCCUCUCCGCUUGAGUUUAUUCAAGUUGAGAGUGAAUAGUACAUGCUCCCAUGUGGGGUAUUUAUAGCCUAGGGGUCCAUGACAAAAGACCAUGGGUACCCUUGAGGGAAAGAGAAAAGUGGGUGCAAAAUGCUAAAAGUAACUCCUUGGUCCAUAUCUUUUGUGUGCACCAAGUGGGAAAAGUAGGGGUUGGUUCAUGGUCCAUCAUGGACUAAAGGCCCCAUCCCAACACCUUUCUUGUCCCCUACUUAAACUCAUUUCUUCCUUUGAGCAUGACAUGAGAGGUUUGAUUUGUUGACUAGUCUUAAUUGUUGUCACGUAGGAUUGGUCAUGCCACGUAGGCACUUGACCCUUAUAGGGAAAUGUUGACUUGGUCGUCGCCACAUAGGAUUUACGGUCCGGUCCAUAUAAGAGUUUUAUUUUACUACAACAAGUACCAUAUGAGGAAUGAGUUAUAUGACACAAGCAUGGCACGUGCUUAAACGUAUCGAGAAUACUAUUUAUGAUAGUGAUUUAGUACUCACGCCAUCCUGCGUGCUUUUAGGACUUAUUCAGUUUUGACGAAACAAAACAAAGAAAAUGUAGGAUGACAAUUGCCAAACUAAGAAUUCAGUUUGUCUUACACUUUUGCAAAAAUUGAGGUUGGAUUAGAUAUUGAGUUUCUUCCAAACCCACAAGAAAUGAAUAGUAUUUCCAAGGAUUUGUUUUGUUUAUUUCCUACAAACCCACCCAAUGCAUCUUCCUAUGAAAUCCCCAAUCCCGUGUUUUUAAUUUGAAAAAUACACCAAACUGAAUGAGCCCUUGGGUCACCAAUUUAACUAACAAGAUAAAAAAAACAAGAAGUAAGGGUCUGUCUAAUAUACUGUUGCCUGGAAAUUUGUAGUUCCAAUCACUUUUAUGUCUUCCGCUUAUCUGGUAUCCAACCGUACAAAAUACUGUACAGAGUAGUUGUUUGACUUGUUUCCUUUGCUAGACUUAAUAAAAUGUGUUUCAGUUGUUCUGGGCCUAUUCUAGACCGGACUUGGUCUAUUCCGUUCUGAGCUGGGCUGAAAAAAUCUUUCUAGCACGAUUUUCAAUACUUAUAUGGUUUAUCUUAACUUCAGAUGGCGACAGGUACGAAAUUCAUCGGGUAGUGCCCGCCCAAACCCGUCCCUGCGACACUGAUCGCAGCCCCGUGCCCAAACCCGUCCCCCACUAACGGGUUCCAUUUUUUUCCAUCCCCGUCCCCGUCGAGGAACCCAAAUCCGUGAGAAUACACAACACAUACAGGAAAAGUCAGCAGCAUAACGACACAAAAACAUCAUGUUUUAAUAUCACAAUGAUAGUAAAACAGUAUAAUGACAAUGCGGCACGGAGGAGUGGGCGGGCCGCGUCAUAGAGGGAGCGACUGAGCGAGAGCGAGUAGGCUCGGAGGGAGUGGGCGGCUCGGGAUGUUAAUAGAAUGUGGGCUAGUGAUCUGGGAGAGUGAAUUAGUAUUAGAAACAUGUUAUAUAUCUAAGGUCUUCUGUAGAAUAGGCUGAACUAGAAUCUAUAUCGUAUUUUUCGUGAAACCCAGUGGGGAUCGGGUUCGGGGAUUAGAUUUGACCCGAACCUGUCCCCUAAUGAAGUAAAAAUGUGUGGGGAUACGGGUUUCGGGGCCAGAUUGAUAUCUUGAUCUUCAACCAUCUUAUGGCAAACUUGUUCACAAUUUUACACGAGAUUUAGGGUGCAAUCGACCCCAGGUGCAAAAAAAAAACUAUUCUCAUGUUUUUUCUUUGUCUAAAAAAUAUUAAUUGCAUAGCUUAAAUGCUGCAAAUUAUGGUCCAUCUUAAUUCUUGGAUCUGAAAUAUUCCUCAUAUUUCCAACAAGAAAUAAGUCCAUAUUUCACUCCCAAAUGUAUCUCUCCGGACGGAUAACUCACUAAACUUGAAAACCGUUUAAUUUUAACCCCAAAAUUUAAAUACCAGAUAAAUCACCCCACAUAAUGGUUUUGGAGCUGAGGUGACACGUUUGGGACGGUUUAGAACGUGGCAAGUUCACCUUUUUUUGUUUGACCGCUGACGUGCCAGAGAUCAUGCAUGGAUGGGUUCGAGUUCCAGAAGGCGGGGUUUUGGUACGCGGACGAAGGCGGAGCGAGGUCACGUCGUUCGGCUCGACGGCGACCAUCUCGCCGUCGCUGUCGCCGGCGUCGUCGUUCCGGCGUUCUUCGGCAGCGCUCUAACGGAACCAGGACAAGUGGUGGUGCCGGCGUCGUGCGUGCCGGACGGCGGACUCUCGGCAGCGGCGCGCAAGGAGCUGCGGUGGCGGGCCUCCGCCAGCCAUGACGGGCGGCGGCAACUUCUCGCAGGAUUACCUGCUGGACUGCGCUGCGUGGACGUCUCGUCGAAGCACGACGCGCUGGCGAUCACAUCGAGGCCUCCAUGUACGUGUGGCUAUCCAAACCAAUCGAUUUUCCCGUGCGCGUGUGUGUGGCUUGGCGUGAAUACUGCAGUUAGCUUCUGAUUGAUGUUGCUGCUGUACGCCUGCGUUUCUCCGGAAUCAAUUAGCUUGCGAUUUGUGGUCUGAACCAACAGGCGCAAGGCGAGCGCGAUCCUUGCGCAUGGCGGCGGCGGGAGAUGGGUGCAGUGGAGUACGGUCAAGGAGCUCGCCGCCGACGAUGGCAGCGUCUGCGGCCAGAACAUGGCGCUGGCCAGCAGGGCCGAGAGCCUCCUCCUACCACUCUUUACACAUGCAAGAUCCAGUUCAACAAGGUGAAUUAGGAAACUGUAUUUCUUCCCUAAGAUGGCCAAGACAGCGGUCAAACAAAAGGUCAACUUACCGAAUCUUGUGCUAAACCGUCUUAAACGUGUCACGUCGGCCCCUAAACCGUCAUGUGGGGUGAUUUAUCUUGUAUUAGGGAUUUCGGGGUUAAAAUUAAACUGUUUUCGACUUAGGGAUUUAUGCGUCCUCAGAGAUAUAUUUUUUAAAAGAUAAUCUUAAGAGAUACAUCGGGAGUGAAAUAUGUUCUUCUUUCUUCCAACAAAUACUAUUUCACACUUGGACCUUGAAAUCCCUAAUACCAAAUAAAUCACUUCCUUGGCAGUUUCGCAGCUGACGUGACACGUUUAGAACGGUUUAGAGGCUGAUUAGGAUCGUUGACUCGUUUGUUUGACCGAUGACGUGGCGAAAGGGAAAGUCCUUCUACCGUUGAUACUUUUCUUCUCUGUUUCUUAGACAGAGUUUGUAGGUCCCAUCUCGUUCUCUCCUCGGAUGGAUUCGUGGCCGAUGCGUCGGACCAGACGCACGCCGCCGCCGCCUGGACAUGGAGCUCGCUCCAUCGGCGGAGAUGACGUCCUCGUGCGCCUGCUGCGCCCGUCCCGCCGCAUGGACAGGCCUCCUCUCGCGCCGGUGGUGGGCAAGGCCGCGGCCGGCGAGGUCGAGGCGGCGCUCUCCCUUGUCCCCUGCCCCGCCGCGCGCACGGGCCUCCUCUUGCGCCGGUGGUCGGCGAGGUCGAGGCGGCGCUUUCUCUCGUCCCCCGCCCCGUCGCUGUCUCCCCCUUGACAUCCGCCUCCCGUCGAGGCCGUGGUCGGACGAGACGGAAGGCGACGCCCGCGCCAAGCCGUUGCUGCGCAUCGUGAGGGCUACUCUAGGGGCCGAAGGCGAGUCAUCGGAGUGGCUGGAGGCGUGGCUUGGUGUCGGGCGGCAUUCGGCCGUAGUCGGGGAAGACGAGUGCUAGCGGCGGCUUGGGGCGCGCGCGGGUCCAGGCUCUCGCGCAGGAGGUUCGCGAGGCGAUGCGAAGCGAGAGGUGGCCGCCGCAGAGCCUGCGUGCGCCAGACGAGCUCGCCAGAAAUGGCAGAGGAGGAGGCAGCUUUGAUCUGAGGGGAAAAGAGAGAAGAGAAGAGGCGCAGGGGGAGAGAGCUCAGGAGAGGAGGAGAAAUACGGAGAGAGGAGCUCGCGUGAGGGGAUAAAGAUGGAGGAGGUGGGGAGCAAGGGGACGGCGGCAUGGUGCCGGCAGGGGAAGGAUGAGGCCCUGUGGCUGAUGCGGUUGGUGAACAGAAUGAGGGAGAAGACAGGCACAUGAGUUGGGUCGGGGCCCAUUUGCAGAGUGACUCAGCCUCUAAACCGUUCUAAAUAUGUCACGUCAACCUUGAAACCGCUAAGUGGAUGAUUUAUCUGGUAUUAGUAAUUUCAGGGUUUAAAUUAGACGGUUUUCCAUUUCAGAAAGAUAUGCGGCUACAAGAUACAUAGGUGGGUGAAAUAUGGACUUUACAGCUGAAGAGAGUCUGGAAAUCAGGUUGGGUCAUGACCGACGCAUCAGGCCCAUGAGUUCCAUCCGCUAGCCGGCCUCGAUGGCUGCUGGAUCGAUCGAUGGGAAAGAAAGAAAAGGCUGCCUACAUCCAUAUAGGCGUACUAAAGAAAGAAAAGGCCGGCGGGAUUUAUCUAUCCAUAUAGUGAGAGAGAAGGCCGGACGUUGCGGAGACGCUAAACGCCAUUUCAUCUGCGAUCUGUUCCAAAGCUUCUGCUAGUGCUAGUAUCGUUGCUAGGUUUUCCAGGAGCACUGGCGUAACCGCUGUCAUCAGGGAUUUUCGGUUCCCCUCGCGUCCGGCCGCCGCAUUGGCACUGCGAGGUGGGGGGGACCGAGAUUAUCUAGAAGUUUUUCCUUAGAUCGAUUGUUUGCCUCUGAUCGGCAAUGUCAUGGUGGAGGGUGUGAUGCCGUCACGAAUAAAGGUACUUUGGUGGUUACCUUGUUGUGAUGGUGCCUCAACGGGCGUUGCUGCGGAGCCAGAGAUUUUUAAUCCCUGUGGAUUUAGUGUACCCGAUCUUGUGGAUCUUGGGUUUGUGUAUUCGCAGAUCCGUUUACACGCAUCUGUUGAGUUUUUGUUAGUAUGUCAUGAUGUUUUUGUUGGUUUUAUAUUUUAUAAUUUUGAAAUACUUCUCUGGCGUUUUGAUGAAGAUCUUGCGGCUCGACGACCUGCACGUUUAGGGGAUCAUCCCCGCCCCAAGUACAUUCAACGCUCAUGGCUUCUCAUCCUUUUGGAUGAGCGACUCAGGGGGCUUUUCGAAACCUUUGAAAGUAGUCAAGUUCGUGCAGGGAUACCGGUAAUGAUGUUGCUGCUACAGUCUGAUUGCAGUAUGUAUGUUGAAGGCUCAGCAGAAUUUCAUGUUACAAAGUAUGAAAUGACGGAGAAGAUUUCUUUAAGAAAUUUCAUUGUAAUUCUUAAUUGCAGGAGUUACCUUAGAGUUUCUAGAGUUUAUGAUCCAAAGCAUUGUAUCUGUAAUGGUCCAAGUUUCUGUUUCAACCCCUAAAAAAUGAACUGGGAUCUGUUCCCCAGUGCACACAUGAGACGCGACCUGACGCCAGACGCCGUUUCAUCUGUGAUCUGAGCACGGCGCUGGCGCCGAUUGGCGGACGCCUGACGGCCGAUGCAGGCGCACUCCCUACUUGGUGCAGUAGCCCUCGCCAACGAUGUAAGUCCGCCUCAAAACAAGGUUCGCUAGCAAUUUUUCUGAUCUUUGCAGUAUAUUUUAAUAAUAAUUCUGGUUACUAGAUUAAAUUCCAUUUAAAGAUACUCCCUCUAUUUCAUAUUAAGUGACUCAAAUUUGUUUAAAUAUGAAUGUAUCUAUAUACUAAAAUAUGUCUAAACACAUGUAAUAUUUCGGUACUUAAUAUGGGACAGAGGGAGUAAAUGUUUUGGUAAAACCUUGGACAUUGGCUAGUGUUUAUGCAGUUAGUAUAAUUCAAGCUCUCAAGGCUUUAGGCAAUUUUUCAGGUACCCUUGCAAUUUAUAUUUAUUACUCCGUAAAUGCAGGUUUGGCCAUCCUACUAUGUUGACUUGAAAUUUUAACUCUACCUUUUUAUCUUGUAGGGUGUUGAACGGACGGAUUGAUGAUGUAUUUUGGAAUUUGAAAUACAAGACAACUUUUCCAAGUAAGUUAGUCCUUUGUAUCAUCAUUUUACUAAGAAAUUUUUCAUCAUUUUAGUAAGCAUUUUGAUUAUUGAUUGUUACUUCUUUUCAUUUCUAGAUUGUCUUCUUUUAUGCCUAAUGAAACAAACUAUUUUCUCCGAUCCAUAUUAAUUGUCAAAAUAUUACAUGUAUUUGAUGCUUUUUAGCAUAGAUACAUUUAUAUUUGGGAAAAUUUGAAACAUUUAAUAUGAAUUGGAGGGAAUACCAUUUAAUUUAGCGUUGCUUGAAAAUUUUGUGAAAGUGGCGCAUUGGGGUGACUUGAGCUCCAGCUCCGCCGCACAUUCGUAAAUGGUUGGAAUUUAUACACAUUAAUUACAAACAAAUUACUGCACGAUUAGUGCUUUUAAGUCCACACAUUCAUAUGUUACAUGCGUGGUAUUACAUAUACCCAGCCGUCUCUACCAUUGUAGGCCGAUCUAGAAGGUGUCCACAAAUUGCAUAUCACUAUUAUGCCUUUUGUGCUUGCAGAACUCUGCGAUGGUACUCUCCAAGAGCCCAGAUCGGAAAGAUGUUCCUGAACUGGGCGUAAGUGAGCAUGAGGUUGUGGUUGGUAGCUCCGAUGAUGUCCUGUCAUGUGAGGAAACGUACAAAUUGUAAGUUAUUCGACAG